AAAGAUGGGGAAACCUUUAUUUUUUCUGUUGAUCUGGAUUCCAGAUUUAUCAGCUUUAAUAUAGAGAAUUGGCCAGAAACGAUCUUAAUCUGAAGUCCAGCCUAGAACUGGUUUCAGAAACCUAGGUAUUGACAGUCCCUGAUUACUUGAUUCAGAACAUGCAUGAAUUGUUGGUCCUGGAAGCAUGAUUGCUGGCAUUGGGCCUGCAUAAAAGUGCCAUGAAGUCUGCUUAAAUCAGUGCAAGGGUAAGAUUGGACUUUAUGGCAUUGCUUACAUAUACCAUUGCGAAUAAUAUCUGUUAUUUCUGCUCCCUUUCUCCAUGGUUUCAUAGUUGAAAAUAUGCAUUGCAUAGGUGCGAAAGCAGAACCAUGUUGGCGUCCCAAAGCCAGUUAGAAUGCAUUCCUUCCUAGUCCUUUCUUUCAGUUUCCAUCUUAUGGAGAGUGAAGUCCAGGAUAUUAUGCUUGUGUAUAAACAAAACCUUUGAAUUUUAAAGCUUUCAUAGUCUGUUCCAAUAUGUUUUUCUCUAUGCUCGUUAACGAAAAGAAAAGUAAAAUAUCCUGCCACAUACUGGAACAGACUAUGAAAGCUUUAGAAUUCAAAGGUUUUGUUUAUAAUCAUCACUGCUCAAACUGAAAUUUAGCACAUGCAGGGAUGGCCACAGUCAAUAUGUAGCAGAAAUUUAGGGAUGACCACAGUAUUAGUAUUACGUAGAACAGUACAAGAGUCAAAGAUUCAGAUCGUGCUACAAUCAUCAGUGCUCACGCUGAAAUUUAGCACAUGCAGAUAGACAGAGUUGAACAAACCACAUACUCUGGCAAGACCUCCCAGACCAAGACCUAGAUCAACUGCUCCUACUAUACUCCGGCAGUGAUCUCACCACGCCGUAGCAUACAUACCCCCAGUCAAUUGCCGCCGCCGCGUCCUCCGCGUUGCCUCCCGCCGCGGAACCCUGCGCGCGCGCCCCAGCCGCCGUGGUCGCCUCCAAAGGCCCCACCGCCUGCUNNNNNNNNNNNNNNNNNNNNNNNNNNNNNNNNNNNNNNNNNNNNNNNNNNNNNNNNNNNNNNNNNNNNNNNNNNNNNNNNNNNNNNNNNNNNNNNNNNNNACUAGUAGUGUUGAUUACUCUUUGUAGUUGAUGCUAGUUGGGUUACUUGGUGGAAGAGUUUAUGUUCAGAUCCUUGAUGCUAUUCAUUACACCUCUGAUUAUGAUUAUGAUUAUGUUUUGUGAGUAGUUACUUUUGUUCCUGAGGACAUGGGAUAAGUCAUGCUGAUAAUAGUCAUGUGAAUUUGAUAUUCGUUCGGUAUUUUGAUAUGUUGUAUGUUGUCUUUUUCUCUAGUGGUGUUAUGUGAACGUCGACUACAUAACACUUGCAUAUUUGGGCCUAGAGGAAGGCAUUGGGGAGUAGUAAGUAGAUGAUGGGUUGCUGGAGUGACAGAAGCUUAAACCCCAGUCUAUGCGUUGCUUCGUAAGGGGCUGAUUUGGAUCCACUAGUUUAAUGCUAUGGUUAGACUUUGUCUUAAUUCUUCUUUUGUAGUUGCGGAUGCUUGCGAGAGAGGUUAAUCGUAAGUGGGAUGCUUGUCCAAGUAAGGGCAGUACCCAAGGGCCGGUCCACCCACAUAUCAAACUAUCAAAGUAACGAACGCGAAUCAUAUGAACAUGAUGAAACUAGCAUGACAGAAAUUCCCGUGUGUCCUCGGGAGCGUUUUUCCUCCUAUAAGACUUUGUUCAGGCUUGUCCCUUGCUACAAAAGGGAUUGGGCCACUUGCUGCACUGUUGCUACUACUUGUUACUUGUUACGUUUCGCUUGCUACGUUUCACCUCGCUACACCAUCACUUGUUACCGCUACUUUCAGUGCUUGCAGUUAUUACCUUGCUGAAAACCGCUUAUCAGAGCCUUCUGCUCCUCGUUGGGUUCGACACUCUUACUUAUCGAAAGGACUAUGAUUGAUCCCCUAUACUUGUGGGUCAUCAAGACUCUUUUCUGGCACCGUUGCCGGGGAGUGAAGCGCCUUUGGUAAGUGGAAAUUGGUAAGGAAACAUUUAUAUACUGUGCUGAAAUUUAUUGUCACUUGUCACUAUGGAAACUGUUCCUUUGAGGAGUUUGUUCGGGGUAUCUUCACCACGAACGGAAGCACGAGGAGUUGUUCCUCAACCUGAGGUCCCUACAGAAAAUAUCUUUUAUGAAAUUCCUUCGGGUAUGCUUGAGAAACAGCUGGCUAAUCCUUUCAGAGGAGAUGGAUCUUCACAUACAGACUUGCAUCUGAUCUAUGUAGAUGAAGUUUGUGGUUUAUUUAAGCUUGCAGGUUUGCCCGAGGAUGAGGUAAAGAAGAAAGUCUUUCCUUUAUCUUUGAAGGAUAAGGCGUUGACAUGGUAUAGGCUAUGUGAUGAUACUGGAUCAUGGGGCUACAAUCGGUUGAAAUUGGAAUUUCAUCAAAAGUUCUAUCCUAUGCAUUUAGUACAUCGUGAUCGGAACUUUAUCUAUAACUUUUGGCCUCGUGACAGGGAAAGCAUAGCUCAAGCUUGGGGGAGGCUUAAACCAAUGCUAUAUUCAUGCCCCAAUCAUGAGCUCUCGAGAGAAAUCAUCACUCAAAACUUUUAUGCUCGGCUUUCUCAUGAAGAUUGUACCAUGCUUCACACUUCUUGUGCCGGUUCUUUUAUGAAGAAGGAUAUUGAUCACAAGUGGAAUUUAUUGGAGAGAAUCAAACGCAACUCUGAAGAUUUGGAGCUGGAGGAAGGUAAGGAGUCAGGUAUGAAUUUCUAGUUUGAUUGUGUUAAAUCUUUUGUUGAGACAAACACUUCUAGAGAUUUUAGCGCUAAGUAUGGACUUGACUCUGAGAUAGUAGCUUCUCUAUGUGAAUCUUUUGCUGCUCAUGUUGAUCUUCCCAAAGAGAAGUGGUUUAAAUAUCAUCCUCCUGUAGAAAGCAACAUAGCCAAAACCAAUCUAGUUGAGGAGAAAGUCAUUGCUUUUAGUGAUCCUAUUGUUCCUUGUGCUUACACUGAGAAACCACCAUACCCUGCUAGGAUAAAGGAUUAUUCUAAAGCUCCACUGUGAUACGUAUGGGUUACAUUAGACCACUUGCACCCCCUAAGGAGAUUAGAGUUGAACCUAGUGUUGCUAUUAUCAAAGAUCUCUUAGCCGAAGACAUAGACGGGCAUGUUAUCAAAUUCUGAGAGGACUCCGCUAGAAUUGCUAAACCUCACGCGAAAGACAAACACGGACCUGUAGUUGGCGUGCCCGUUGUUUUUGUCAAGAUAGGAGAUCACUGUUACCAUGGUUUAUGUGAUAUGGGAGCUAGUGUUAGUGCAAUACCUCGUUCUCUAUAUGAUGUAAUCAAAGAUGAGAUUGCACCUGCUGAGUUAGAACCCAUUGAUUUCACUAUUACGCUAGCUAAUAGAGACACUAUCUGCCCUCUGGGAAUUGUGAGAGACGUAGAAGUCCUGUGUGGUAAGACGAAGUAUCCUACUGAUUUCCUCGUCCUUGGUACUGCACAAAAUAGCUUUUGUCCCUUCAUAUUUGGUAGACCCUUUCUCAACACUGUCAAUGCUCACAUUGAUUGCAUUAAGCAGACUGUCACAGUUAAUUUCGAGGGUGUGUCUCAUGAAUUUAUCUUCUCCAAGUUUGGAAGACAACCCCAUGAAAAAGAGUCGUCUGGUAGGGAUGAAAUCAUUGCUCUUGCCUCUAUUGCCGUACCUCCUACGAAUCCUUUAGAGCAAUAUCUACUUGAGCAUGAAAAUGAUAUGCAUAUGGAGGAGAGAGAUGAGAUAGAUAAAAUUGUCUUAGAACAAUAUCCUAUUCUCAAGAAUAAUCUGCAUGUUGAACUGCUUGGGGAUCCUCCCCCACCAAAGGGUGGUCCUGUGUUCGAGCUUAAACAGUUGCCUGAUACUCUUAUUAUGCCUAUCUUGAUGAGAAGGAGAUAUAACAUGUUAUUAUUAGUGCUCUCCUCUUAGAGCACGAAGAGAAGAAGUUACUAAGAACUCUGAGGAAGCACCGUGCUGCUAUUGGAUAUACUCUUGAUGAUCUUAAGGGUAUUAGUCCUACUCUAUGUCAGCACAAGAUUAAAACCGAUCCUGACUUUAAACCAGUUGCUGAUCAUCAAUGGAGAUUGUAUCCUAAGAUGAAAGAGGUCGUUAGAAAAGAAAUAUUAAAGCUUCUCGAAGCAGGAAUCAUUUAUCAUGUUGCUCAUAGUGAUUGGGUAAGUCCAGUACAUUGCGUACCUAAGAAGGGAGGUAUCACCGUCGUUCCUAAUGAUAAGGAUGAACUAAUCCCACAAAGGAUUAUUACUGGCUAUAGGAUGGUGAUAGACUUCCGGAAACUGAACAAGGCAACCAGGAAAGAUCAUUAUCCUUUGCCGUUUAUCGACCAAAUGCUAGAAAGGUUAUCAAAACACACACACUUCUGCUUUCUAGACGGUUAUUCAGGUUUCUCGCAAAUACCUGUUGCACAAUCUAAUCAGGAGAAAACCACUUUCACCUGCCACUUUGGUACCUUUGCUUAUAGAUGUAUGCCUUUUGGCUUAUGCAAUGCACCUGCCACCUUCCAAAGAUGUAUGAUGGCUAUAUUCUCUGACUUUUGUGAAAAGAUUGUCGAUGUUUUCAUGGAUGACUUCUCCGUUUACGGGUCUUCCUUUGAUGAUUGCCUCAGCAACCUUGAUCGAGUCUUACAGAGAUGCGAAGAUACCAACCUCGUCUUGAAUUGGGAGAAGUGCCACUUUAUGGUUAAUGAAGGCAUCGUCUUAGGACACAAAAUCUCUGAAAGAGGCAUUGAAGUUGAUAAGGCUAAGGUUGAUGCAAUUGAGAAAAUGCCUUGCCCCACAGAUAUCAGAGGUAUACGAAGUUUCCUAGGUCAUGCUGGUUUCAAUAGAAGGUUCAUUAAAGACUUCUCUAAGAUUUCUAGGCCUCUUACUAACCUCUUGCAGAAGGAUGUUCCUUUUGUUUUUGAUGAGGAUUGUGAGGAAGCUUUCAAAAUACUUAAGAAGGCUUUGAUAACCGCACCUAUUGUUCAACCACCUGACUGGAAGUUGCCCUUUGAAAUCAUGUGUGACGCUAGUGAUUAUGCUGUUGGUGCUGUUCUAGGACAAAGAGUUGAUAAGAAGUUGAAUGUUAUUCACUAAGCUAGCAAAACUCUAGACAGUGCCCAAAGAAACUAUGCCACUAAGGAGAAGGAAUUUUUAGCACUCGUGUUUGCAUGUAAAAAGUUCAGAUCUUACAUAGUUGACUCCAAUGUCACUAUUCACUCUAAUCAUGCUGCUAUUAAGUACCUUAUGGAGAAGAAGGACGCUAAGCCUAGGCUGGUCAGAUGGGUUCUCCUGCUACAGGAAUUCGAUUUACACGUCGUUGACCGAAAGGGUGCUGAUAACCCUGUAGCAGAUAACUUGUCUAGGCUAGAGAAUGUCCUUGAUGACCCACUACCUAUUGAUGACAGCUUUCCUGAUGAGCAAUUAAAUGUCAUCCGCACCUCACAUAGUGCACCGUGGUAUGCCGAUUAUGCAAACUAUAUUGUAGCCAAAUACAUACCACCAAGUUUCACCUAUCAGCAAAAGAAGAAUUCUUCUUUGAUUUGAGACACUACUUUUGGGAUGAUCCUCACCUUUAUAAGGAGGGAGUAGAUGGUGUUAUUAGACAUUGUGUACCUAAACAUGAACAUGGACAGAUCCUACAGAAGUGUCAUUCCGAAGCCUAAGGAGGACACCACGCUGGAGAUAGAACUACCCAUAAGGUAUUGCAAUCAGGUUUCUAUUGGCCCACUCUCUUCAAGGAUGCCCGUAAGUUUGUCUUGUCUUGUGAUGAAUGCCAAAGAAUAGGGAAUAUCAGUAAGCGUCAGGAAAUGCCUAUGAACUAUUCACUUGUCAUUGAACCAUUUGAUGUCUGGGGCUUUGAUUAUAUGGAACCCUUCCCGAGUUCCAAUGGAUACACUCACAUCUUAGUUGCUGUGGAUUACGUCACUAAGUGUGUAGAAGCUAUCCCCACUAAAAAUGUUGAUCACCACACCUCUAUUAAGAUGCUUAAAGAAGUCAUAUUCCCAAGAUUUGGAGUCCCUAGAUAUUUGAUGACUGAUGGCGGUUCACACUUCAUUCAUGGUGUUUUCCGCAAGAUGCUAGCUAAGUAUGAUGUAAACCAUAGAGUUGCAUCUCCUUAUCAUCCUCAGUCUAGUGGUCAAGUGGAGUUGAGUAAUAGGGAGAUCAAAUUGAUCCUACAAGAGACCGUCAAUAGAUCUCGAAAGAAUUGGUCUAGCAAACUUGACGAUGCACUAUGGGCUUAUAGGACUGCUUAUAAGAAUCCCAUGGGCAUGUCACCGUAUAAAAUGGUUUACGUAAGGCCUGUCAUUUACCUCUUGAGCUGGAACACAAAGCUUAUUGGGCAAUCAAAGAGCUCAACUUUGAUUUCAAACUUGCCGGUGAGAAGCGGUUGUUUGAUAUCAGCUCGUUAGAUGAAUGGAGGGCCCAGGCAUAUGAGAAUGCCAAGUUGUUCAAGGAAAAGGUUAAGAGAUGGCACGACAAACGAAUACAGAAACGGGAGUUCAAUGUAGGUGAUUAUGUCUUGCUAUACAAUUCUCGUUUGAGAUUCUUUGUAGGCAAGCUUCUCUCUAAAUGGGAAGGUCCUUAUGUUAUCGAGGAAGUAUAUCAUUCCGGUGCCAUCAAAAUCAAUAACACGAAAAGAAAUUUUCCUAGAGUGGUAAAUGGGCAAAGAAUUAAGCAUUACAUCUCUGGUACUCCUAUAAAUGUUGAGACCAAUAUCAUCAAUGUCAUAACUCCAGAGGAGUACAUAAGGGAUGUUUAUCAGCCUGUUUCAGACCCUGAAAACGAAGAGGUAUCUGUUUCGGCAAGAAAUUGGACUCCGAUGCUUUUCCAAUAGGAAAUUUCCUCCGUUUUGGAAUUUUUGGAAAAUUAGAAAAAUAAAAAGCAGUCCGGAGAGCGCACGAGCCGACCACAAGCCCUGCCACCGCUCCCUACCCCUUGGUGGUGGAGGGCAAGCUUGUGGGCACCUCGUGUGCCUCCCGGACUCCGUUUUCUUGCGGAGCACUCCUUCUGGUCCAGAAAAAAAUCAAUAUAUACUCGCCCGAAGGUUUUGAUCUCCGUAUCGUGCAGUUUUCCUCUGUUUUCGUUUCGAGCUUGUUUCUGCCGCAGUUUUAGAGCAAAGAUGUCUCAGGAAUCUGUUGGGGAGAAUGAUCUUCACCAAGUUCAUGAGGAAGUAGAUGCUGAUCUGAAAAGAGUAGAAGUCACGGAAGCCAGGGACCAAGCUAAGGAGAAAACCCAAGCUAGGGAGGAACUUCAACCUAUGUCCAACAUUGAAGACGUUGAAGGAGUAGAUUUUCUCCAACCCUUCCUCCACGUGCUGUCUCCAUCCUUGACUGAACUCUUGAGGUUUUGUGAAACAACUCGUGUUCGCAAUAUUUCCCUUUCUCGUGAAGUUGUUUUGUUGGAAAACCAUGUCACAGAUCUCAAAGGUAUAAAUCAAAGAUUAAUAGCUCUCUUGGAAUCAAAGGCAACAACUUCACCACCAUCACCACCAAAGGAAGACAACUAAGCAUUGGUAUGGGCAAUCCCCUUGGCUUCUGCCAAGCUUGGGGGAGUUGCCCUGGUAUCGUAUCAACUUUAUAUCUUUUCUUUUUACCUUUGUUUUAGUUCUUCCCUUUUUAGUUUUUAUUUCUUCUCUUAUAGGAAUAAGUCCUUAGUGUUUAGUUUGAGUCUUUUGAUUUUGUCUCUCCCCCGAUGUAUUCGAGCUUAUGAGCUAUAUAAUAAAGAGUAUCUUAGUCAAGGGCUUUUCUUUGUGCCAUGAUCAAAAGUAUGAAAAGAACGAUAGCAUGAAAGAUCAUGAGACGAUCUUAUGGAAAGUGAUAACUUCACUUAUGACACGUAUGAUGAUUGAAACUUGUUGACAAUAAAACAACAUAGACCCCACUCAUUGUUGCAAUUAAUAAGAAGUAAUAAGGAAAGAGAGGUUCACAUAUAAAUAUAUCAUCUUAGACACUUUUUACAAUUGUGAGCACUCACCAAACUAUUACAUGCUUAGGAGUAGAUGUUGGACAAGGAAGACAACAUAAUGAAUUGUGUUUGCUUGGUUCCAAACAAUGUUAUAUGAUUAGAGAUCCCUUAGCAUGUGACGAUUGCUUCCACCUCAUAUUAGCCAAAACUCCCACACCAAGUAGAGAUACUACUUGUGCAUCCAUAAACCUCCAACCCGGUUUUGCCAUGAGAGUCCACCAUACCUACCUAUGGAUUGAAUAAGAUCCUUCAAGUAAGUUGUCAUCGGUGCAAGAAAUAAAAAAUGCUAUCUAAUAUGUAUGAUCUAUUAGUGUGUGGAAAAUAAACUUUGUACGAACCUGUGAUGAGGAAGACAUAAAAGCGACAGACUGCAUAAUAAAGUUCUUUAUCACAGGAGGCAAUAUAAAGUGACGUUCCUUCGCACUAAGAGGACACACAUUCAAACCUCAAAAGUGCAUGACAACCUCUGAUUCCCUCUGCGAAGGGCCUAUCUUGUACCUUUACUUUUUGCCCUUGUAAGAGUCAUGGCGAUCUUCACCAAUUCCCUAUUUUGCCUUUGUCUUGGCUACCGUCAUAUGCUUAGGAAAGAUCUAUAUUCAUAUAUCAACUUGGAGUUGAGUACUUAUGCUUUAUUAUUGUUGACUUUACCCUUGAGGUAAAUCGUUGGGAGGCAAAAACUAUAAGCCCCUAUCUUCCUCUGUGUCCAGCUGAAACUUUGAUACCAUGAGUACCACGUGAGUUGUAACAAUUGUGGAAAACAAAGAGAUGAUUGAGUAUGUGGGUUUGCCUUACAAGCUCUUAUUUGACUCUUUCUGAUGUUGUGAUAAAUUGCAAUUGCUUCAAUGACUUUGGACCGUUGUUGGUUACUUCUUGGUAAGGUUUUUUGCUUCAUGCUUUGCUUUGUGAAGGAAUUGUUACUUUCCCAUAAGAAUAUUUAUGAUGUAUUGCUGUUCUAUGUGUGAUCAUGAUGCCCUCUUGUCCGUAUUAUGUUUUAUCAACACCUUCGCCCCUCAACAUGUGGACAUGUUCAUGGAACUUGGUUUUCGCUUGAGGACAAGCGAGGUCUAAGCUUGGGGGAGUUGACACGUCCAUUUUGCAUCAUGCUUUCAUGUUGAUAUUUAUUGCUUUGUGGGCUGUUAUAUUACUUUGUGGUACCAUAUUUAUGCCUCUUCUCUCUUAUUUUGCAAGGUUUAUUUGAAGAGGGAGAAUUCAGGCAGCUGGAAUUCUGGACUGGAAAAGGAGAAAAUCUUAGUCCACUAUUUUGCACAUCUCCAAAUGCCCUGAAAUGUUAUGUGGAUUUUUUUGGGAUUAUAUAAAACAUAUUGGGCGAAAGAAGUAUCGGAUGGGGGUUUCCAGGGCGCCACAAGCCCUGCCACCGCCACCCCCUGGUGGCGGAGUGGGGGCUUGUGGGCUCCCUGAUGGCCCACUAGCUCCCCCUUUUUCUAUAUGAAGGGUUUCGUUCUAGAAAAAAUCAUUCGGGAGCUUUUUCGUGGUUUCACCGCCGCCACGAGGCGGAACUUGAGCAGAUCCAAUCUAGAGCUCCGGCAGGACGAUCCUGCUGGGGAAACUUCCCUCCCGAAGGGGGAAAUCAUGGACAUCUUCAUCACCAACACUCCUCUCGUUGGAGGGGAGGCAUAUUCAUCAACAGCUUCAUCAGCACCAUCUCCUCUCCAAUCCCUAGUUCAUCUCUUGUAACCAAUCUCCGUCUCACGACUCCGAUUGGUACUUGUAAGGUUACUAGUAGUGUUGAUUACUCUUUGUAGUUGAUGCUAGUUGGGUUACUUGGUGGAAGAGUUUAUGUUCAGAUCCUUGAUGCUAUUCAUUACACCUCUGAUCAUGAUUAUGAUUAUGUUUUGUGAGUAGUUACUUUUGUUCCUGAGGACAUGGGAUAAGUCAUGCUGAUAAUAGUCAUGUGAAUUUGAUAUUCGUUCGGUAUUUUGAUAUGUUGUAUGUUGUCUUUUUCUCUAGUGGUGUUAUGUGAACGUCGACUACAUAACACUUCACCAUAUUUGGGCCUAGAUGAAGGCAUUGGAGAGUAGUAAGUAGAUGAUGGGUUGCUGGAGUGACAGAAGCUUAAACCCCAGUCUAUGCGUUGCUUCGUAAGGGGCUGAUUUGGAUCCACUAGUUUAAUGCUAUGGUUAGACUUUGUCUUAAUUCUUCUUUUGUAGUUGCGGAUGCUUGCGAGAAAGGUUAAUCAUAAGUGGGAUGCUUUUCCAAGUAAGGGCAGUACCCAAGCGCCGGUCCACCCACAUAUUAAACUAUCAAAGUAACAAACGCGAAUCAUAUGAACAUGAUGAAACUAGCAUGUCAGAAAUUCCCGUGUGUCCUCGGGAGUGUUUUUCCUCCUAUAAGACUUUGUUCAGGCUUUUCCCUUGCUACAAAAGGGAUUGGGCCACUUGCUGCACUGUUGCUACUACUUGUUACUUGUUACUUUUCGCUUGCUACGUUUCACCUCGCUACACCAUCACUUGUUACCGCUACUUUCAGUGCUUGCAGUUAUUACCUUGCUGAAAACCGCUUAUCACAGCCUUCUGCUCCUCGUUGUGUUCGACACUCUUACUUAUCGAAAGGACUACGAUUGAUCCCCUAUACUUGUGGGUCAUCACACCCCCAUUAAGAAUAAAUAUGUAUCCAGUUUGUGACUUAGAGUCAUCUGGAUCAGUGUAAAAGCUUGCAUCGACGUAACCCUUUACGACGAGCUCUUCGUCACCUCCAUAAAUGAGAAACAUUUCCUUAGUCCUUUUCAGGUACUUCAGAAUAUUCUUGACCGAUGUCCAGUGCUCCACUCCUGGAUCACCUUGAAACCUGCCUGCCAUACUUAUGGCAAGGCUGACAUCUGGUCUUCUGCACAACAUUGCAUACAUGAUAGACCCUAUGGCUGAAGCAUAGGGGACGACACUCUUCAGCAGUUACUGGGCAUUGAGUCUUACUCAAUUUUAUACCUUGUAACACAGGCAAGAACCCCUUCUUGGAUUGUUCCGUUUUGAACUUAUACAAAACUUUAUCAAGGUAUGUGCUUUUUGAAAGUCCUAUUAAGCACUUUGAUCUAUCUCUAUAGAUCUUGAUGCCUAAUAUGUAAGUAACAUCUCCCAGGUCCUUCAUUGAAAAACUCUUAUUCAAGUAAUCCUUCGUGCUCCCUAAAAAUUCUAUAUUGUUUCAAUCAUCAAUAUGUCAUCCACAUAUAAUAUUAGAAACACUAUAGAGCUCCCACUCACUUUCUUGUAAAUACAAGCUUCUCAAAAAACUUGUAUAAACCCGAAGGCUUUGAUUACCUCGUAAAAAUGUUGAUUCCAGCUCUGAGAUGCUUGCACCAGUCCGUAAAUGGAUCGAUGGAGCUUGCAUACUUUGUUAGCAUUCUCUGGAUCGAAAAAACCUUCGGGUUGCAUCAUAUACAACUCUUCCUUAAGAAAUCCGUUAAGGAACGCCAUUUUGACAUCCAUCUGCCAGAUUUCAUAAGCGAAAAAUGCAGCUAUUGAUAACAUGAUUGAGACAGACUUAAGCAUCGCUACGGGUGAGAAUGUAUCAUCGUAGUCAACUCCUUGAACUUGUGAAAAACCCUUUGACACAAGUCAAGCUUUAUAAACGGUCACAUUACCAUCCGCGUCCGUCUUCUUCUUAAAGAUCCAUUUGUUCUAAAUAGCCUUUCGGCCUUCACGCAAUACUUCCAAAGUCCAUACUUUGUUUUCAUACAUAGAUCCUCUCCCUAUAGNNNNNNNNNNNNNNNNNNNNNNNNNNNNNNNNNNNNNNNNNNNNNNNNNNNNNNNNNNNNNNNNNNNNNNNNNNNNNNNNNNNNNNNNNNNNNNNNNNNNGAACCUAUUAUGUUCUCGUCAAUAUAUGUGUGUUCUUGAUCCUAUCUUGCAAGUUGUACUCACCUACUAUGUGUUAUGACCCCGGAGUGACAAUAGCCGGAACCACUCCCGGAGAUGACCAUAGUAUGAGGAGUUCAUGUAUUCACUAAGUGUUAAUGCUUUGUUCCAGUUCUCUAUUAAAAGGAGAGCCUUAAUAUCCCGUAGUUUCCAUUAGGACCCCGCUGCCACGGCAGGGAUGGACAAUAGAUGUCAUGCAAGUUCUUCUCAUAAGCACGUAUGACUAUAUACGGAAUGCAUGCCUACAUUACAUUGACGAACCGGAGCUAGUUACAUAUCUCCCCACGUUAUAAAUGUUGCAUGAUGAAUGCCAUCCGGCAUAAUCAUCCAUCACCAAUCCAAUGCAUACGAGUCUUUUACUACUGGUCCUUGCUACGUUACUUUUCUGCUACUGCUGUCACUGCUACUACUGUUACCGCUACUGCUGUCACUGCUGCUACUGUUACCGUUGCUACUAUUGCUAUGACACUACCUUGCUACUGAUACUUUGCUGCAGACACUAAGUAUUUCAGGUGUGGUUGACAACUCAACUGCUAAUACUCGAGAAUAUUAUUUUGCUUCCCCUUGUGUCGAAUCAACAAAUUUGGGUUGAAUACUCUACCCUCGAAAACUGUUGUGAUCCCCUAUACUUGUGGGUUAUCAAGACUAUAUUCUCGCGCCGUUGCCGGGGAGGCCUAGCACUAUUCUCUGAGUCACUUGGGAUUUACGUCUAUUGAUCACUAUGAGGAAUCCGAGAGAUCCAAAAACUAAAGUCCUGCCAUCAACUACGAGGACAGGUAAGGAACUGCCAUCUAGCUCUGCACUUGAUUCACCUUCAGUUAUGAGUAAGUUUGCGACACCACCUCCUGCUAGAAAUUCUGAUAUGUCGCCUGUGCUUGAUGAUGCUACUUCUGCUAUCCAUGAUGCUUGUGGUGAUGCUUUGCUUGAUACUGCUUUGCCACUAGGUGCAUUUCUUGAUGCACAAAUUGCUAGAGUUGCUGCUGAAUGUGAUGAUACUUCUGAAACUGCUGAGAUUAUUGAAGUAGAACCUGCUAUUUCACCUGUUAGAACUAGCUCUCCUAGAUAUGAAUUGCCUGAUAUACCUGAGGGAUAUGUUAUGGAGGGAGAGAUAGCUGAGGACUUUCUUGCUUGUAAGGAUACCUAUGAUCUUGAGAAAUUACUACGCAAGUGGAAAGAAAAAUCUUUGAACUCUAGGAUGAAAUACGACCCGAAGUUUGCUACUUCGCCUAUCUUUGUGACCGAUAAGGAUUAGGAAUUCUUUGUCGACCCUGAGUUAAUCACUUUGGCCGAAUCUGAUCCUUUUCAUGGUUAUGAGUCUGAAACAGUUGUACCACAUCUUACUAAGCUGCACGAUAUAGCCACCCUAUUCACGAGUGAGGAAAAGAUCCACCACUACUAUAUCCUUAAGCUGUUUCCUUUCUCGCUAAAGAAUGAUGCUAAGACUUGGUUCACUUCUCUUGCUCCUAGUUGUGUGCGUAGUCCCCAGGAUAUGAUCUACUACUUCUCUCAGAAAUAUUUUCAUGCCCAUAAGAAACAAGCUGCCUUGCAGGAUAUAUAUAACUUUGUGCAAGUUGAAGAAGAGAGUCUCCCACAAGCUUGGGGGAGGCUUGUCCAGCUACUGAAUGCUUUGCCUGAUCACCCUCUUGAGAAGAAUGAAAUAUUUGAUAUCUUCUAUAAUGGACUAACCGAUGCUUCUAGGGACCACCUACAUAGUUGUGCUGGUUGUGUUUUCAGGGAACGAACUGUGGAACAAGCUGAGAUUCUAUUGAAUAAUAUCUUGUGCAAUGAGAAUGCUUGGACUAUUCCCGAACCACCUUCGAAGCCAACUCCGAAGAAAAGAGGUAUCCUAUUCCUCAGUCUUGAAUAUAUGCAAGAAGCUAAGAAAUCUAUGAAAGAGAAAGGCAUUAAAUCUGAACAUGUCAAAAAUCUACCACAUGUCAAAGAGAUCCAUGGUCUUGAUAACCCGACACAGGUAGUAGAGGUAAAUUCUCUUCGUAGAUUCAAUGAGAGUGAUAUUCCUUUUAAUAAACCUGCUAGCUUAUGCUUAUAUGAAUUUGAUAACUUUGUUGCCAAACAACACAGUUUCAAUGAUUAUGUUAGCACACAAUUGGAACAGAAUGCUCGUAUGCUUAGUCAUUUAAGUGCUUGUGUGAAUAGAAACGUCAAUGAUCUUAAGCUUUUGAGUAAACAUGCCUCUAUGGUUACUGAUACGUCUCAAACGUAUCUAUAAUUUUUGAUGGUUUCAUGCUGUUAUCUUGUCAACUUUGGAUGAUUUAUAUAUCUUUUUAUCUUUUUCAGGACUAACUUAUUAAUUCAGUGCCAAGUGCCAAUUCUUGUUUUUCUGUGUUUUUGACUCUUUUCAGAUCUGAUUUUGGAACAGAGUCCAAACGGAAUAAAAUCCCCGAAAUAAAUUUUUCCAGAACAGAAGAAGAUCGGGGGACUUGAGGGCCAAGGCAGGGGGCCCACAGGGAGCCCACAAGCCCCGUUGCCGCGGCCAGGGGGCCCGCGGCAACCAGGCUUGUGGCCUUCCUAGUGCUCCCCUGCCCUAGCUCUUUGGCCUAUAAACUCUCUAAAAUCCCAGAAAAAGGAGGGCAUCCACAAAAAUACUUUUCCGCCGCCGCAAGCUUCCGUUUCCACGAGAUCUCAUCUGGAGACCCUUCCCGGUGCCCUGCCGGAGGGGACUUUGGAGCUGGAGGGUUUCUACAUCAACAUCAUCGCCCCUCCAAUGACUCGUGAGUAGUCUACUUCAGACCUACGGGUCCGUAGUUAGUAGCUAGAUGGCUUCUCUCUCUUGGAUCUUCAAUACAAAGUUCUCCAUGAUCUUCAUGGAGAUCUAUCCGAUGUAAUCCUCUUUAGCGGUGUGUUUGUCGAGAUCCGAUGAAUUGUGGAUUUGUGAUCAGCUUAUCUAUGAAUUAUAUUUGAGUCUUUGCUGAUUUCUUAUAUGCAUGAUUUGAUAUCCUUGUAAGUCUCUCCGAGUAUUGGGUUUUGUUUGGCCAACUAGAUCUAUGAUUCUUGCAAUGGGAGAAGUGUUUGGUUUUGGGUUCAUACCGUGCGGUGACCUUUCCUAGUGACAGAAGUGGCAGCAAGGCACACAUCGUGUUGUGGCCAUCAAGGGUAACAAGAUGGGCUUUCAUCAUAGAUUUGAGAUUGUCCAUCUACAUCAUGUCAUCUUGCUUAAGGCGUUACUCUGUUCUUAUGAACUCAAUACACUAGAUGCAUGCUAGAUAGCGGUCGACAUGUGGAGUAAUAGUAGUAGAUGCAGAAAGUAUAUGUCUACUUGUUUUGGACGUGAUGCCUAUAGAUAUGAUCAUUGCCAUAGAUAACGUCAUGACUUUGCGCGGUUCUAUCAAUUGCUCGACAGUAAUUCGUUCACCCACCGUCUACUUGCUUUCAUGAGAGAAGCCACUAGUGAACACUACGGCCCCCGGGUCUAUUCAGAACUAUUGUCUCCACUUUCACUUUGACUUUGCUUUGUUUCCUUUUUGCUUUUAGUUCUCACUUUGCAAACAAUCUAUAAGGGAUUGACAACCCCUUCAUAGCGUUGGGUGCAAGCUCUUUGUGUUUGUGCAGGUACUCGUUACUUGACGCGAUCCUCCUACUAGAUCGAUACCUUGGUUCUCAAACUAAGGGAAAUGCAUACUGCUUUUGUGCUGCAUCACCCUUUCCUCUUCAAGGGAACACCAACGCAAGGCUCCAAGGCCGCGGGCGAAUCCUUUGCAUAUUUUCCAAGGAAGUCCCUGUAGGCGUAGCGAGCAGCAGAAGGACCUCUGACGCCGUUGCCGGGGAAGGUCUUUUGUUGCCGUAGCAGAAGGAUUUCUGGCGCCGUUGCCGGGGAGGAGAGAUCAAGUCAAGAUCUAUCCAAGUAGGUGUCACAAACUCAUCUCUUGCAUUUACCUUUUUGCUAGUUGCCUCUCGUUUUCCUCUCCCCCACUUCACAUUUGCCAUUUUCAUUUGCCUUUCUCCCUUGCCGUUUUCAUUUGCCUUCUUGCCUUUCUCCUUUUCCGUUUUCUUUUGCCUUUUUGCCGUUCUCUUUUUUGCCCGUUUCACUCGCUUACUUCCUGCUCAUUUGUGUGUGGGAUAGUCCACCAAUGGCUAGACCCACCACUCCAAAUGAUACCCCUGAGAACGAAGUUCUCAAUUCCAAGCAGAAUGAGGAAGAAAAUUUAAAGGACGCUUGGUACAGGAUUUGCAAUGCUCAAAGUAGAUCUACUCGUAAGCAAUCCACUAUCGUUUUUUCGCAGUUUUUUAUGUCGGAAUCUCUCCUUGGAAUAGGUAUAUUCCUGAUACCAUCGUAGGCGGGAAUUUUUUUGGGGAGCCAUACCGUUGACUCCUAUGGAGCUGUCAUGAAUUUGGUAGGCUCACCCCCGCUCAUGGUUAAUGGAACUACCUUGACCUUGGAACACGUGAUGCAAAGGCUUGACACUAUUGAAAACAAAAUUGCCACAAUUGAACUUAUUGAGGGUUUGGAUAGAAAGAUCCACAAUCAAAUUACUCAGUACGGAUCCAAAGUGGGAAUGGUUUUGAAAAAUUUAAGGGAGAAGGAACCUAUAGUUAAUGAUUCCUCUAGAAUUGGCAAACUAGAAGAUGUCAUAACCAACUUGGGUUCCGCUUUUGCCGCUGUGAAAAAUACUCCAAGUCCCACUCUCAAAAAGACCGUCAAGUCUGUUUUUGUUACUAAAGCUAGUGGUGAGUCAUCCAAUAAAGAUGAAGAUCUUAAGAUGAUAAAUGAUCACACUACUUCUGGUUUGAGCACCAAAGAUGACUAUACGUGGUUCCAUCACCUUAUGCCUAGCUAAGGGCGUGAAACAAUAGCGCUUGUUGGGUGGCAACCCAACGAAUCUAUCCUUUUACUUUCUGUUUUGUGGUUUCCACACUUUCAUAAUUCUGUUAUGAUUGUGUUUUUUGUGUUUCUUUUGCGUUUGUGCCAAGUAAAACCGUUAUGAUUAGUCUUGGGGAUGAUCGUUUGGUCAUGCUGGAAAAGACAGAAACUUUCUGCUCACGAAACGAAUUUUCAUUUUUUUAUGUAAGAGCUUUUGAGUUGGUUCUUUUUUAUUCUGAUUCCUAUGCAAAUUCUUCAGACUUUCGUAAGGUUUCAGAAUUUUUGAAGUACCAUAAGUAUACGAAGUAUACAUAUUGCCACAGACUGGUCUGCUGUUAACAGAUUCUAAUUUUGUUGAGUUGGUUGCUUAUUUUGAUGAAACUAUGGAUAGUAUCGGGGGUAUUAGCCAUGGAAGAUUGAAAAUACAGUAACCCAACAUCAACAUAAGUAGAAUUUAAGUUUGCUACAGUACCUAAGGAAGUGGUGGUUUGAUUUCUUAUACUAAUGAUAUCACGAGUUUCUGUUUAAGUUUCGUGUUGUGAACUUUUCAAGUUUUGGGUGAAGUUCUUAUGGACCAAGAGAUAAAGAGUGGCAAGAGCUCAAGCUCGGGGAUGCCCAAGGCACACCAAGUUGAUUCAAGUAUGCUGUAAAAGCCUAAUCUUGAGGAUGCUCCGGGAAGGCAUCCCCUCUUUCGUCUUCAAUCCAUCGGUAACAUUACUUGGGGCUAUAUUGUUAUUCAUCACAUGUUAUCUGUUUUGCUUGGAGCGUCUUGUAUCGUAGGAGUCUUUUGUUUUUGUUGUGUCACAAUAUUCCUUGCUGCACACCUAGAGAGAGAGACAUGCACUCACCGUGAUUUUGUCGAGCUUCACUUAUAUCCUUUGGUUAGACAAUUCAGCUCAGAUGUGCUUCACUUAUAUCUUUGGAGCUAGUUGAUUUUGCUCCAUGUGCUUCACUUAUAUCUUUUAGAGCAUGGCGGUGCGUGGCUUGGUAGUUGAUCUAUGCUAUGAAUGUAGUCUCAAAAGGGGUAGUUAUCCAAAGGGAUAUGAAAACUUCCACCUUCAUGUGCAUUGAAUAGUUAGAGAAGUUUGAUUCAUCUCAAUUAGUUUUGAGUUGUGGUUGUGGUGAUAUUGAAGUUAUACUAGUAAGGUGUUGUGGAUCUAGAAAUACUUCUGUUGAAGUUAGUGAUUCCCGUAGCAUGCACGUAUGGUGAACUGCUAUGUGAUGAAGUCUGAGCAUGAUUAGUCUAUUGAUUGUCAUCCUUUGUGUGGCGGUCGGGAUCUCACGAUGGUUUAUACCUACCAACCCUUCCCCUAGGAGUAUGCGUUGAAUGCUUUGUUUCAAUCACUACUAAAACUUUUGCAACAAGUAUAUGAGUUCUUCAUGACUAAUGUUGAGUCCAUGGUUUAGAUGCACUUUCACCUUCCACCAUCACUAUCUUCUUUAGUGUCGUGCAACUUUUGCCGGUGCAUAAAACCCACCAUUAGCCUCCCUCAAAACAGCCACCAUACCUACCUACUAUGGCUUCUUCAAAGCCAUUCCAAGAUAUAUUGACAUGCAACUACCACCAUGACAUGUGCCACCACUUCUACAUUGCCAUUGCAUUAUCAUAAGAUAGCUAGCAUGAUAUUUCCAUUAAUGUAUAUGCCAUGCUAGAUCAUUGUCACGGUACACUACCGAAGGCAUCCCAUAUAGAGUCAUCAUUGCUCUAAGUUUUGAGUUGUAAGUGUGAUGAUCAUCAUUAAUGGAGCAUUGUCCCAUGUGAGGAAAUAAAAGAGGCCAGCGAAGCCCAUUUACAAAAAGAGGCCAAAGAUGCCCACCCCAAAAAAAAGACGUCAAAGAGCCCACCAAAAAAAUGAGAGAAAAAUAGAGAAGGGACAAUGCUACUAUCUUUCCACACUUGUGCUUAUUAAGCACCAUGAUCUUCAUGAUUGAGAGUCUCUCGUUUUGUCACCACCAUAUAGCUAGUGGGAAAUUUUCAUUAUAUAACUUGGCUUGUAUAUUCCAAUGAUAGGCUUCCUCAAAAUUGCCUUAGGUCUUCGUGAGCAAGCAAGUUGGAUGCACACCCACUAGUUUUCUUUAAGAGCUUUCACAUACUCUUAGCUCUAGUACAUCAUUUGUAUGGCAAUCCCUACUCAUUCACGUUGAUAUAUAUUGAUGAGCAUAUCCACAGCUCAUUGAUAUGCCUAGUCAAUGUGACCAUCUUCUCCUUGUUUGCCUUGCAACCUCCACCACACUCCAUUCCACUUAUAGUGCUAAAACCAUGGCUCACGCUCAUGUAUUGUGUGAGAGUUGAAAAAGUUUGAGAAAGUAAAUGUGUGAAAACAAUUACUUGGCCAAUAUCGAGGUUGUGCAUGAUUUAAAUUCGUUGUGCAAGGAUGAUAGAGCAUAGCCAGACUAUAUGAUUUUGUAGGGAUAACUUUCUUUUCGCCUUGUUAUUUUGAAAGUUCAUGAUUACCUUGCUAGUUUGCUUGAAGUAUUAUUGUCUCCACGUCACUAGCAAACUAUUGUUUUGAAUCUAAUGGAUCUGAACAUUCACGUCACAUAAGAGGAGUUACAAAGGACAUCUGUUCUAGGUAGCAUGAAAGCAUCAAAAAUUCUCUCUUUAUCACUUCCCUACUCGAGGACGAGCAGGAGUUAAGCUUGGGGAUGCUUGAUACGUCUCAAACGUAUCUAUAUUUUUUUAUGGUUUCAUGUUGUUAUCUUGUCAACUUUGGAUGUUUUAUAUACCUUUUUAUCUUUUUGGGACUAACUUAUUAAUUCAGUGCCAAGUGCCAGUUCCUGUUUUUUCCGUGUUUUUGACUCUUUCCAGAUCUGAUUUUGGAACGGAGUCCAAACGUAAUAAAAUCCCUGAAAUAAUUUUUUCCGGAACAGAAGAAGAUUGGGGGACUUGAGGGCCAAGGCAGGGAGCCCACAAGCCUUGUUGCCGCGGUCAGGGGGCCCGCGGCAACCAGGCUUGUGGCCUCCCUAGCGCUCCCCUGCCCUAGCUCUUUGGCCUAUAAAUUCCCUAAAAUGCCAGAAAAAGUGAGGGCAUGAACGAAAAUACUUUUCCGCCGCCGCAAGCUUCCGUUUCCAUGAGAUCUCAUCUAGAGACCCUUCUCGGUGCCCUAUCGAAGGGGACUUUGGAGUUGGAGGGCUUCUACAUCAACACCAUCGCCCCUCCAAUGACUCAUGAGUAGUCUACUUCAGACCUAUGGGUCCGUAGUUAGUAGCUAGACGGCUUCUUCUCUCUCUUGAAUCUUUAGUAGAAAGUUCUCCAUGAUCUUCAUGGAGAUCUAUCCGAUGUAAUCCUCUUUGUCGGUGUGUUUGUCGAGGUCCGAUGAAUUGUGGAUUUGUGAUCAGAUUGUCUAUGAAUUAUAUUUGAGUGUUUGUUGAUUUCUUAUAUCCAUGAUUUGAUAUCCUUGUAAGUCUCUCCGAGUCUUGGGUUUUGUUUGUCCAACUAGAUUUAUGAUUCUUGCAAUGGGAGAAGUGCUUGGUUUUGGGUUCAUACCGUGCGGUGACCUUUCCGAGUGAUAGAAGGGGCAGCAAGGCACGCAUCAUGUUGUUGCCAUCAAGGAUAACAAGAUGGGCUUUCAUCAUAGAUUUGAGAUUCUCCAUCUACAUCAUGUCAUCUUGCUUAAGGCGUUACUCUGUUCUUAUGGAGUCAAUACACUAGAUGCAUGCUGGAUAGCGAUCGACGUGUGGAGUAAUAGUAGUAAAUGCAGAAAGUAUCGGUCUACUUGUUUUGGACGUGAUGCCUAUAGAUAUGAUCAUUGCCAUAGAUAACGUCAUGACUUUGCGCGGUUCUAUCAAUUGCUCAACAAUAAUUCCUUUACCUACCGUCUACUUGUUUUGGACGUGAUGCCUAUAGAUAUGAUCAUUGCCAUAGAUAACGUCAUGACUUUGCGCGGUUCUAUCAAUUGCUCAACAAUAAUUCCUUUACCUACCGUCUACUUGCUUUAAUGUGAGAAGCCACUAGUGAACACUACGGCCCCCCGGUCUAUUCACAACUAUCGUCUCCACUUUUAAUUUUACUUUGCUUUGUUUCCUUUUUGCUUUCAGUUCUCACUUUGCAAACAAUCUAUAAGGUAUUGACAACCCCUUCAUAGCGUUGGGUGCAAGCUCUUUGUGUUUGUGUAGGUACUUGUGACUUGACGCGAUCCUCCUACUGGAUCGAUACCUUGGUUCUCAAACUGAGGGAAAUACUUACUGCUUAUGUGCUGCAUCACCCUUUCCUCUUCAAGGGAACACCAGCGCAAGGCUCCAAGGCCGUGGAGGAAUCCUUUGCAUAUUUGCCAAGGAAGUCCCUGUAGGCGUAGCCAGCAGUAGAAGGACGUGUGACUCCGUUGCCGGGGAAGGUCUUUUGUUGUCGUAGCAGUUACUACUCAACUAGAGCAAGUACUUAAGGCUCAAAAUGACGUGCUCAAUGAGCUGAAUGACAAUUCUGUCAAAGUCGUCACUAGAGGUGGUAGAAUGACCCAGGAACCUUUGUAUCCUGAGGUUCAUCCUAAGAGAAUUGAACAAGAUUCUCAACGAGGUAGCACCGAGGCACCUAGUCAUCCUAGGAAGAAAAAGAAAGAUGAUAGGAACUUGCAUGCUAGCAACCAUGUUGCUGUUACACCCAAGAAUCCAAACGAUGUCUCUGUUUCUGAUGUCGAAACACAAUCUGGUGAUGAACAUGAGCCUAGUGAUAAUAUUGAUAGUGGUGUUCAUGAUGAUGCUCUACCUAGCAAUGAUAAGGAUGUGGAGAUUGAACCUAGUGUUGAUCUUGAUAACCCACAACCUAAGAACAAGAGAUACGAUAAGAACGACUUCACUGCUAGGAAGCAUGGUAAAGAAAGGGAACCAUGGGUUCAGAAACCCAUGCCCUUUCCUCCCAAACCAUCCAAGAAAAAGGAUGAUGAGGAUUUUAAGCGAUUUGUUGAAAUGAUUAUACCUGUCUUUCUGCAAAUGCGUUUGACAGAUAUGCUCAAAAUGUCUCCUUAUGCUAAGUACAUGAAGGAUAUUGUGACUAAUAAGAGGAGGAUACCUGAGGUUGAGAUUUCCACCAUGCUUUCCAAUUACAUCUUCAAGGGUGGAACUCCUAAGAAACUAGGUGAUCCCGGAGUACCCACUAUACCUUGCUCCAUUAAAGGAAACUACGUUAGAACUGCUUUAUGCGACCUUGGAGCUGGUGUUAGUGUUAUGCCUCUCUCUCUGUAUCGUAGACUUGAAUUGGAUAAGUUGACACCCACUGAAAUCUCCUUGCAAAUGGUUGACAAAUCAACUGCUUUGACUAUCGGUAUUUGCGAGGAUGUGCCUGUUGUGGUUGCUAACGUUACUUUCUUAACGGACUUUGUUAUUCUGGAUAUUCCCGAGGAUGAUGCCAUGGCGCUCAUCCUUGGAAGACCCUUUUUAAACACUGCAGGGGCUGUUAUUGAUUGACAAAGGCAAUGUCAAUUUCCAUGUCAAUGGUAAUGAGCAUGGGGUGCACUUUCCGAAGAAACAAUAUCGAGUACAUUGCAUCAAUGCUAUUGAAAAAACUUCAUCGAUUCUUAUUGGGAGCUUUGAAUGCCCUAUACCUACUGUUAAGAUGAAGUAUGAUUUGCUUGUUGGGGAUAUGCACAUCCCCAUUGAGGUAACCUAGUGACUAUUCGAAAAUUCUCCGUUUUUAUGCGAUUCGAAAAAAGUUUGUCAAGGAGACCUGAUCAACCUCAUUGACGGAUUUCUUUUGAUGACCAUGAGAUGGAUGAAUCUAGGAGUCACAACCCUCUGUUUCGAACUUUUACUCUCGGUUGUUUAGAAGAAAAAUGAUAGAUUUAGCUUUAGUUUCUCCUGUUUUCUGCUUUUCCCAUCCUGUAGAAAAGUGUCCCGAAAAUAAAAAGUUCUCCGAAUGCCCUGAAAGUCAAGCAUGUUUUUUUCUGGAAUUUUUGAAAAAUUCUGAGACGGAGAGCUAGUCAGGGGGAUGCACCAGUGGGCCACAAGACUAGGAGGCACGGGCACCCCCCCUGGUCACGCCUACGAGGCUUGUGGGGCCCACGUGGCCCCCCUCCACUUAUUCCAGCUCCCAUCUCCUUCUCCUACCUCGAGAAAAAAUCAUUCUACAUCUCAAACCCGUGUUCUUGCUAUGAUUUUUGAUCUCCUUGUGCAAAGCCCCAUUCACCAAACUGUUUUGGGGAAAUUGUUCCUUGGUAUGUGACUCCUCCAUUGGUCCAAUUAGUUUUUGCUCUAGUGCUUUAUUCGUUGCGUAUUAUUGUUGCCUUGGUGACCCUGUUCUUGAGCUUUGCAUGUUAAUUUUAGUUGGUCCCAAGUAGUUUUGAUGUAUGAUAUGGCCUCUAGGCACUUGUAGGAGUAGUUGCUAUGAGUUUCGUUGAGCCUUGUUCACUUUUCCUUUGAGUCACUAAAAAUUUCAGAAAAAGGAAGAUGUUCAGGAAAAACUAUCAUGGUGGUUCUUCAAGCAAGAGGGGUCCCUAUCUCGCGAUUCGGGAGCCCGAUCCUUACCAACCGAGGAACGCACAGGUACAACCAUGUGAAUGGCCUUCUGAUGAAUUCAUGAUUGAUGGAGGUUUCAAAGACGAGUUUGAUACACUUGUUCACAACGUUGGACUUGAAGAAUUCAUCUCCAAUAAAUGUGAACAAUAUAAUUCUCUCACUGCCUCUUUUGUUCGUAGAUUCAAAUUUUCAGCUGGUCGUGACACAUCCGUACUGUUUGAUCUCUAUGACAAAACGUAUACCAUGGAUUUAGAGGAUUUCAAUAGAAUUUGCAAGAUACCUGAUUGGGGUAGUCUCAAUGAUCCUCCUAAGUCUUCGGUUAGAGAUUUUAUCUCUAGUAUAACUGUCGGAGAAACUAGAGAUAUUACGCAGGCUACCAUGGGGAGCAUUCAUUUUCCUGCCUUGCAUUACUUUGCCCUCUUCAUAGGUAGAUGCAUUAACGACAAAAUUGAGCAUUGUCACCUCUGCGCACCUGACCUUAGUAUUCUUCAGAGCGCAGUAACAGGUGAUAGAAGUUUCAACUUGGGAGCUAUAAUCACGAGGAGGCUAAAUAAUAAUGGUAAUGAAGGGGAUUUCUUUGGUGGGAUCUAUGCCACUCGUCUAGCAAAUUUUCUUGGAGUACCCAUCCACGAAGGAUAUCCCCCGCUCCAUACAGCUUUCAUUGAUCGCGCCGCUAUGACAAGUUAUCUAUUCCUUGAGAGGGAUAAUGAAUCCCUCCUAUACCGGUUAAUAUUUAACCGACGACGUGUUUUCUAUAUAACCCUUCCUGCUCCUGCCUUCUUUGACUUUGAGGUAAAACGGAGAUAUUACAUAACCAGAGGAGAGGUAGAGGAGUAUCAGAGGGAGGCAAAGGUUGCUCGCCUCCGUGAGGCAGCUAUUCAGGCGGUAGCUGCUGUGCUCCUGUACAACCCCCAUUACGAUUUUGAAUAUCGCCCGGACCAGCCUUGGGACUAAACCAACUUAGGCCAAAAGCCUAAGCUUGAGGGAGUAUGUGUUCCUCACCGACUUUAUAUUCUUGCUCACGCUUUCACUUUGUUAGUCGGUGUUCACACCUUGCCACUGUAUCAUCCAUGCUAGUUUAUUUCCUUUUCUCGCUUUCUUCUCUUGUGUCUGUUUAGAUUGAGAAAACUCAAAAAGAUUUCCCGUGUAAAUAGUUUUAUUUUUAUUUGGGUCAAGGUAGAAGACCAUGGUUACAAUGUUUAGUGGCUCUCGCAUGCAUAUCCGUUUAUCUGUCACAGAGCCAUAUUACUUUGUCUUCUCCUUUGUGUUUGCUUGCAGAUUCCAGCUUUGUCCAAUGCACGAACACUCUUAUUAUUGUUCACAUCUAUCGGUCAUGCAAGUGAAAGGCAAUAAUGACGAUAUAUGAUGAAUUGACUGAGCCUGGAAAAGCUGGUAUGAACUCGAUCUAUUUUGUUUUUGUAAAUAUGGCUAGCUCAUCGUUCCUAAUUCAGCUUUGUUGUGAGAGAAAGAUGUUUGCAAUGACAACUUAGAGAUCAUAGUUUCUGAUGCCAUGCUUAAUUAGCUAGGAGCUUAUAAUGGUUUGUCUUGGAUGCCAACAUGAAUUUCAAGAUGAUUAUGAUGUAGUAUGAUAGGACGGUAUCCUCCUUUGAAUGAUUCAAGUGGCUUGACUUGGCACAUGCUUACGCAUGUAGUUGAAAUAAAAUCAACAUAGCAUCUAUGAUAUUCAUGUUUAUGGUGAUUUAUGUCCUACUCAUCCUUGCACUCAAUGUUGGUUAAUCUCAAUGCAUAUUGAUGACUGCUGUCGCUCUCUAGUUGGUCGCUUCCCAGUCUUUUGCUAGCCUUCACUUGUACUAAGCGGCAAUACUGCUUGUGCAUCCACUUCCAUAAACCCAAAGUUGUUCCAUAUGAGCCCACCAUACCUAACUAUUUGCGGUAUCUACCUGUCGUUCCAAGUAAAUUUGCAUGUGCCACUCUCUAAACGUUCAAGUAAUAAUUUGUUUUGUAUGCCCGAACCGCUCAUGUGGUGACAAGGGGCAAUCAGUAUCUUCCAUGCUAGGCGUGUUAUCCUCGAUACGAGUUUAUUCACUAUCACUCACGAGAAAGGGGCCGGUAAUUGGAAUGCCCAGUUCCAUGCUCAAAUUGAAAAGAUAAUUGCAAACAAAACUCCCUGUGGAUUGUUGUUGGUAUGGACCGCACCCGAGUAUUCGUCUAGUCGUGGAGUGUGAUUGAUCGGUGGUGGGGGAGUCAAAACUUUACUUUUUCUGUUUGUGAACCGCCUAUAGCAUGUGUAGCAUGGAAGAUGGUGAAAACUCUUGGUCAUUGCAUUGACAAUGAAAGCAUGCCACCCAAAAUUAUUUAUCUCUGUCUUCAAAGCUUGAGCUCUCGCACCUCUGCAAAUCAAUGCUUCCCUCUGCGAAGGGCCUAUCUAUUUAUGUUUCUGUUGAGUCAUCCUCUUCUUAUAAAAGCACCAAUUAGAGAGCCCCUCCGUCCUUUUUAUGCUUUUCUAUUAAUUGUUAUUGAGUAUGACUGUGACUGGAUCUUCUUUGCCAUGAAUUACAAUGUUCAGUCAGCCUUUGGAAUUUGAAGGUGCUCUGCAUUUAUGUUUUGCGGUCUCAGAAAGAGCUAGCGAGAUACCACCUGUUCAUAUUGCUUCAUGAUUGUUUUGAUUGAAGUGUUGACGUUUGAAACUCAUCAUUAUUACUCGCUAGUUGAUUAUGCCAUUCAUAUGAGUACAUCUUGAGACCUAAAUGUCAUUGCUUAUGUAGUUAGCUUAUGAUCUUGCUGAAAAUCUAAACAUGAGUUAGACAUAAUUACAACAACAAGAUCAAGCAGAGUUCGUAAAAGUUUUUCUUUUGUCUCUUUCAGUUUGUCAACUGAAUUGCUUGAGGACAAGCAAGGCUUUAAGCUUGGGGGAGUUGAUACGUCUCCAUCGUAUCUACUUUUCCAAACUCUUUUGCCCUUGUUUUGGACUCUAAUUUGCAUUAUUUGAAUGGAAUUAACCUGAACUAACGCUGUUUUCAGCAGAAUUGCCAUGGUGUUGUUUUUGCGCAGAAAUAAAAGUUCUUGGAAUGACCUGGAAAUUUACGAGGAUUUUUUUGUGGAAUAUAUAAAAAAUACUGGCGCAAGAAUCAAUCGGAGGCGUGGAGUGAGGAGCCCACAAGCCCAGGAGGCGCGGGCCCCCCUGGCCGCGCCUAGCAGGCUUGUGGGGCCCUCGGGACUCCGCCGCCUCCAACUCUAGCUCUAUUUAGUCCCUUUCAUCCGGAAAAAAAAUUCAAGGAGAAGAGUUCAUCGCGUUUUACGAUACGCAGGCGCCGCAACCACCUAUUCUUCCUCUCGAGGGCAGAUCUGGAGUCCGUUUUGGGCUCCGGAGAGGGGAGAUCGUCGCCAUUGUCAUCACCAACCUUCGUUCAUCGCCAAUUCCAUGAUGCUCUUCACCGGUCGUGAGUAAUCUCAUCGUAGGCUUGCUGGGCGGUGAUGGGUUGGAUGAGAUCUAUCAUGUAAUCGAGUUAGUUUUGAUGGGGAUUGAUCCCUAGUAUCCAUUUUGUUCGGAGAUUGAUGUUGCUACUACUUUGCCAUGCUUAAUGCUUGUCACUAGGACCCGAGUGCCAUGAUUUCAGAUCUGAACCUAUUAUGUUCUCGUCAAUAUAUGUGUGUUCUUGAUCCUAUCUUGCAAGUUGUAGUCACCUACUAUGUGUUAUGACCCGGCAACCCCGGAGUGACAAUAGCCGGAACCACUCCCGGAGAUGACCAUAGUAUGAGGAGUUCAUGUAUUCACUAAGUGUUAAUGCUUUGUUCUGGUUCUCUAUUAAAAGGAGAACGUUAAUAUCUCAUAGUUUCCAUUAGGACCCCUCUGCCACGGGAUGGAUGGACAAUAAAUGUCCUGCAAGUUCUUUUCAUAACCACGUAUGACUAUAUACGGAAUGCAUGCCUACAUUACAUUGACGAACUGGAGCUAGUUACAUAUCUCCCCAUGUUAUAACUGUUGCAUGAUGAAUGUCAUCCGGCAGAAUCAUCCAUCACCGAUCCAAUGCCUACGAGUUUUUUCCUACUGGUCCUUGCUACGUUACUUUGUUGCUACUCCUAUCACUGCUACUACUGUUACCGCUACUGCUGUCACUGUUGCUACUGUUGCUAUCACACUACUUUGCUACUGAUACUUUGCUACUGAUACUUUGCUACAGAUACUAAGUCUUUUAGGUGUGGUUGAAUUGACAACUCAACUGCUAAUACUCGAGAAUAUUCUUUUGCUUCCCCUUGUGUCGAAUCAACAAAUUUUGGUUGAAUACUCUAUCCUCGAAAACUGCUGCGAUCCCCUAUACUUAUGGGUUAUCAGAAGCCUCUAGUGAACACUAUGGCCCCUGGGUCUACUUCACAUCAUAUUUUCAGCUCUACACUUUUACUUUGUUGCACUUUCCACCUUCAGAUCUCACCUUGCAAUCAAUCGUGAAGGGAUUUACAACCCCUUUGUAGCGUUGGGUGCAAGUUUGCUAUUUUUGCGCAGGUACUUUGGAGACUUGCCUUGAUACUCCUACUGGAUUGAUACCUUGGUUCUCAAACUGAGGGAAAUAUUUACUGCUAUUGUGCUGCAUCACCUUUUCCUCUUCAAGGGAAAAACCAACGCAAGCUCAAGAGGUAGCAGCGAACACGUGGUAUUGCCCGUUGUUUAACUGUUUGGGGUUGUUCUGGAAGCCGUCGUCAUUGUUCUGUGGCUGGAAACCGUUGUGGGUGGGUUGUUGUCGAAAGGCGUCCUGCAGGUUGUGUUUCUGGUUGUCCCGAGCCGGAUGCUGCCCAUGAUUAGGCUGUGACCCGCCCUGUGGGCCCGGGUUAGGGAAUCCAUCAAACGGAUUCCUUUGUGGUCCGGCAGCGCCGAAGCGUUCUUGUUGUCCACAAUGGUUGCCUCCUUGCCCCCUCUUGAGUGUUUCGGCGCGAAACUCCUGCAUCACGUAACAAUCUUCCCAAGAGUGGGUAGCCGGGCCGUCAGCAGUGGCGUGUUGCGGACACGGGCCCUUGAGCAUCUUGUAAUAGUUGUGUGGCUUCUUCCCGCUAAACCCCCUCUUCGGCUGACGCUGGUUGUUAUUGCUAGUGCUAGUGUUGGCAACGAAAUCAGUAACGCCCUCAUGCGGCCUCCUUUUGCCUUGACCCGUGGGGUGAUGGUAGCCCCGUCCCUGGAAUUGAGAGUGACCUCUUGGCAACUCGCCUCUCCUGGCGGUGCUGAUCUUGUCGUCAUCCUCCCCGGGGUCCUUAGUGUCGUCUUCCUCGGCGUAUCUGGUCAUGGUGUCCAUCAAUUCUGCCAUGUCCGGUACUUUACACUUGAGCCGCCCAAGUUUAAGCACCAAGGGUUCGUAGUGGCAGUUUUUCUCCAAGAUCAACACGGCCCGAGCCGCCGAAAUGCCUUCUGAUGAAUGGAUUACCUCCGCAACUCGUUGCGUCCAAUGAUGGGUCGACUCGUCCGGACGCUGGACACAGUGCUGCAAGUCAACGAUGGUCAUCGGUCGUUUACAGGUUCCUUUGAAGUUUUAAUGAAUCGUUCCUUCAACUCGGCCCAGGUGUUGAUGGAGUUGGGUGGUAAGCUCUUCAACCACGUGCGCGUUGUUCCUUCGAGCAUCAUGGUGAAGUACUUAGCGCAAGCCGCCUCACUCACAUCGAGCAUAUACAUCGCAAGCUCGUAACUCUCAAUCCACGCGCGUGGCUCCAGGUCCGGUGUGUACUUGGACCUUUCGCGGGCCUUUGAAAUCCUUUAGCAUACGCUCAUUACGAAUGGCGGGUGCCAGGCAAGGCACUCCGACGUGCCUUCCACCGGUCUCAGUCGUCGCGGGAGACGGUAUGGCAUAGAUCGGAUAACCCUGACCCGCCGCGGCCGCUGCAUCCACAAGGUCCUUAGCCCUCGUGUCGGGCAGGUUGGUUUGUCGAAAACACCGGUGUUCGCUGUUCACUGCCGGCGGGUCAUCAUGGCGAAUCCUGGCGUGACUCGCCUGGGGCGUAGAGUGUAGCCGCUCACAGCUAUACGAAUACUACGCCUCUUGCACCACCGUUGUUUUUAGCAUCUCAAUGGCGUUUAUUGCUUCCACCUCGGCCGGAGAGUUCCUGUGGAUGGGAACGGAUUCAAGGUGACGGGUCGCCGCCAGCAUGUUGUCGACGGGGUUCGAGAAGUGGCCCCGUGGUGUUUGGAAAUGCGUUGCAUGAGUCUCCAUGGGCUGAGGUGGAGGCCGAGCCGGCUCGCCUCCUCGGGCGGCCUGCCACGUCCGAUUGGGCUCCACUCCCGGCGUAUGUGGGCUGUCGAAAAGCCGGGUUGGGUUUAGAUCGGCUGGCAGGCGGCUGUGAUGCCGCCUCUUGUGGAUUGCGUCCAAAGCGUGUUGCUGUCGCUCGAGCCACCACCCCUCAGUGUUCAGUCGCUCCGACUCCGCAAUAAUUAGGGCCUGCUGUCUCGCCAUCCUGGCGGCUUCUUCCUUGAUGUCAUGCUGGAUUUUGGCCAUGUCUUCCCUUAGUUUCGCUAGCUACGAGUUGAUCGUUUCUUGGUUUUCCGUUGUCACAAGGAUCGCCAUGAGCUUGGCCUUCUCUGGUGCCAGGUCCGCCAGGGCCUGAGUUGGAGUCUUUGACGACCCGAUGGUUUCAUUGUUGCCCGUCGGGUUUGGCUGACGUGGUGCUGCCCCCGCCAUGUAGAUGGUGACUUGACGGUGCGGACCCCUAGCUUCCUCAGAGACCGCUGCCUCCGGCAACCCCUCAAGAUGCCCUUCAUAGAGAGUGUAGAUUGAAUCUGUAUCGCCCAUGGAUGACUCAUCGUCCGAAUUGACGGGUGUGACCCCCUGGAUCGCCGGCUCAUCCGGCAAGUCGAUUCCCUGCGUAAAACCAAUAAAAACGCGACGCGACCGGUCGUGUCGCUUGAUGGGACGGACGUACCGAGCCGGCUCGAUCAUGUCGGUGACGGUGUCCGCCUCAGGCACGGGUGCUCCGAUCUUGCCGAUGAAUACGUGGAUCUUGCCGAAGGGGACCCUGUAUCCAGAUUCGACUGAAUCGGCCUCAGGCCCCCAUCGCGAGUUAUUGAUGUAGUACUUCCCUCGGCGGCUCUGCGUCAUGAUGCCGACCGCGUAGCUUUCUAACCCCGGAAGGGCUCCCUUUGAUAACUCAACUCCACCGUGCGCAAGCCCCACGGUGAGCGCCAACUGUCGUGGUUUUGUCAUGGCAGAUGUCCUCGUGAAAGGACUUAGUGAAGGAGCCAUCGCACCUUGGUGGCGACUCAAAGGGGGUGAGCGAAAGCAAGACUCAGAUUUACCCAGGUUCGGCCCCUCGUGUGGAGGUAAAGUCCUACAUCCUACUUUGUGUAUAUUGAUGGUGGAUUCGAUUACAAGGGGGCGUAACUCGCCUGACCUAGCUCUCGAUGACUUCUAACAUGAUCUAUUCGCCCCAGAGACUCGCCUUUAUAUACAGGUCAAGGCCCCAGGGUUUACAAAGUCCUGGCCACAUUACAAAUCGUGGCCUUCCUUAUCUCUAAGUCGCCGUGUACCUCAAGUCGAGGAAAACUCCUUGGAGGCUCAUCUUCUUCGCCAUCCUUGAACCGUCAUCUGGCUCAUGGGCCAUGGCGGCCUUCUUACAAAACAUCCCAACAUGCCCUAAGCCCAAACCAAGGCUUAUGUUGGUCAUAUAUGUAUGAGUCGCCAGUUUCCUGACUCGACCCAUCAGGGCGGGUCAUACCGCAGGUAAUAUCCCCAACAUGGCCCUUGCCCCCCCUGUGGCCCAACUUCGGUGAUCUGUAAGCUUUCGUUACGCUGAUUAUUUAUAUAUUUUUCCUGGAAUUUUUCGGGCUUCAGAAAAUUGGGUAAAAGCCCCUGCAAAAUAGAUAUCAGCAAACAGAAACUCGCACUGGGUGCACUGAGUUAGUAGGUUAGUCCAAAUAUGUGUAAAAUGAUAUAAAAGUGUAGCAAAACAUAUAACAUUGUCACCCAAAAGAUCAUGGAACAAGCAGAAAUUAUAGAUACGUUUGGGACGUAUCAACAUCCCCAAGCUUAAUUUCUGCUCAUCCUCGAGUAGAUAAAUGAUAACACAAUAAUUUCUGUGGUGACAUGCAGACACACAUAUAAGAACUUCAAAGUAAAGCAAGUAAGAUAUGCAAAUCAAGUCAAGAAAAUAACAAGCAAGAGUUUAUAUCUAGCAUUGAGUUUAGCAAAGUAAGAACAUAAAGGUGCAAGAGCCCUCGCUGUCCGUGACUCAAAUGUCUCCAGAUGAUGUUUGCGUGCAAGAAAUAGGAGAUAGGUUGAGAUCAUAAAAUAUUUUUUUAAUUUGAGAACUCAAUCUACUAAACCUCACACUUAGUCUCCUUCGGAAUAUUAUUUUGACUCAUCCCCAAACCACUAGUCAGGCACAAGUCAAAAUGACCCUCUCCCUUUCGACUUUGAGCACUCAUGCAAUGGAUGAGCGUGAGCAAGAUAUGUUGGCACUUAGGAUGGCAAAUAGAAUAAUGAUGGGGAAGGAAGACAAAAAAGUUGUGAAAGGCUCACAUCAAUGAGAACAAUCAUAGGUGAGAGAAAACCAAAUGAUAGAUAUGAUGUCACGAGUAGGGAUUGCCAUGCAACGAAUGCACAUAUGAGCUACGGUAAUCUCUCCAAUAGAACUAGUGGGUGUGCAUUGAUACGUCUCCAACGUAUCUAUAAUUUUUGAUAGUUUCAUGCUAUUAUCUUGUCAAACUUUGGAUGUUUUGUAUGCCUUUUAUAUAUUUUUUGGGAGUAACUUAUUAACUCAGUGCCAAGUGCCAGUUCCUGUUUUUUCAUGUUUUUGACCCCUUUCAGAGGAGAAUUUGAAACGGAGUCCAAACGGAAUAAAAUCCCCAAAAAGAUUUUUUCGGUAACAGAAGAAGAUCAGGAGACUUGAGAGCCAAGGAGGGGGUCCUCAGGGGCCCCACAAGUCCCCACCCCGCGGCCAGGGGGGAGGCCGCGGCCCACAGGCUUGUGGGCCCCCUGGACCUCCUUUGCCCUAGGUUUCGCGCCAAUAUAUCCCCAAAAAUUCCACAAAAAAUCAGGAGAUCAUCAAAAGUACUUUUCCGCUGACGCAAGCUUCUGUCGCCGCAAGAUCCCAUCUGGGGCACGUUCUGGUGCCCUGUCGGAGGGGGGAUUCAGAUACGGGGGGCUUUUUCAUCAACACCAUGACCUCUCCGAUGAUGCGUGAGUAGUUCACCAUAGACCUACGGGUCCAUAGCUAGUAACUAGAUGGCUUCUUCUCUCUCUUGGAUCUUCAAUACAAAGUUCUCCAUGAUCUUCAUGGAGAUCUAUGCGAUGUAAUCUUCUUUUGCAGUGUGUUUGUCGAGAUCCGAUGAAUUGUGGAUUUAUGAUCGGAUUAUCUAUGAAUCUUAUUUGAGUUUCUUCUGAUCUCUCUUAUGCAUGAUUUCAUAUCCUUGUAAUUCUCUUUGAGUUGUGGGUUUUGUUCGCCCAACUAGAUCUAUGAUUCUUGCAAUGGGAGAAGUGCUUGGUCUUGGGUUCAUACCAUGCGGUGACCUCACCCAGUGACAGAAGGGGUAGCGAGGCACGCAUCGUGUUGUUGACAUCAAGGGUAAAAAGAUGGGGUUUUCAUCAUUGGUUUGAGUUCAUCCCUCUACAUCAUGUCAUCUUGCUUAAGGCGUUACUCUGUUCGUCAUGAACUCAAUACACUAGAUGCAUGCUGGAUAGCGGUCGAUGUGUGGAGUAAUAGUAGUAGAUGCAGAAAGUAUUGGUCUACUUGUCUCGGACGUGAUGCCUAUAUGUAUGAUCAUUGCCUUAGAUAUUGUCAUGACUUUGCGCGGUUCUAUCAAUUGCUCGACAAUAAUUUGUUCACCCACCGUGAUAUUUGCUAUUUUGAGAGAAGCCUCUAGUGAACACUAUGGCCCCGGGUCUACUCCACACCAUAUUUUCAGCCUUACACUUUUUACUUCGUUGCACUUUCCGCCUUUAGAUCUCACUUUGCAAACAAUCUUGAAGGGAUUGAGAACCCCUUUGAAGCGUUGGGUGCAAGCUCGUUUGUGUUUGCGUAGGUACUCUGGACUUGACGAGACUCUCCUACUGGAUCGAUACCUUGGUUCUCAAACUGAGGGAAAUACUUAUUGCUCCUUUGCUGCAUCACCCUUUCCCCUUCAAGGAAAAAACCAACGCAAGCAAGUCUCCGUCAACGUGUCAAUUUCUGGCGCUGUUGUUUCAGAAGUAGCAUGCAUCCGACUUGUUUGCUCAUGAAGACCUAGAGCUCAUUUGAGGAGGCUCAUUAUUGGAAUAUGCAAACCAAGUUCUAUAGUGUAAGGGUCCCCACAUAGUUAUGCAUGAAUGAUAAUCUCUAUGUAGUACAAGUAUAGCAAUGGAGUACGAGUGUGGAUCUUUCAAAAGGAAUAAUAGUGGUGCCCCCUUCUCGCUUUUUUUCUUUUUUUGGCCUCUUUGGCUCUUUUUUUUUAUCUCUCAUUUGUCCUCUUUGGGAUCUUUUGUUUGUCCUCUUUGGGAUCUUUCCCUCACUUAAGGGCAACACUCUAUUUUUUUACAAGAAUAGAAAGAAAAAUCUUCACACUUUAUAAGAAGUACUCAACAUAAAGAAUAAUGAAAACUAUCAUGAUGUAUGCAAAUGUAUGCCUCUGCCAGUGUAGCAGGAUAUGCAAUGAUACUAGCACGUCACGUAGCAAUAACAAUAAGGGCAAAGCCCAACUAACAUGCGGCUCCUCGACCAAGCAAAAGUAUGUAUGACAUGAAGAUCAAGUCAUGAGAUGGUGGAUGUUGCAUGGCAAUGUAUCUCGGAAAGGCUAUGGAAAUGCCUUAAUAGGUAGGUGAUAUGUCUCAAAUGUAUCUAUAAUUUUUGAUGGUUUCACGCUCUUAUCUUGUCAACUUUGGAUGUUUUGUAGACCUUUUAUAUCUUUUUUGGGACUAACUUAUUAAUUCAGUGCCAAGUGCAAGUUCCUAUUUUUUCUGUGUUUUUGACUCUUUUUAGAUCUGAUUUUGGAACGGAGUCCAAACAGAAUAAAAUCCCCGAAAUAAAAUUUUCCAGCCCCCCCAGAAGAAGAUCGGGGGACAUGGGGGCCAAGGAAGGGGGCCCACAGGGAGCCCACAAGCCCUGUUGCCGCGGCCAGGGGGGCCCACGGCAACCAGGCUUGUGGCCUCCUGAUGUCAGCUGUGCUUCCCCGGCAACGGCGACAGGAAUAGUCAUGUCGACGGCACCAGGAAUCCUUCUGCUACGGCUAUGGAGCCUUGCGUUGGUGUUCCCUCGAAGCGGAAAGGGUGAUGUAGCACAGCGGUGGUAAGUAUUUCCCUCAGUUUGAGAACCAAGGUAUCAAUCCAGUGGAGGAGUAUCACAAGAUCCUGCACAAAGACAAAGAACCUGCUCCCAACGCUAUGAAGGGGUUGUCAAUCCCUUAUAGAUUGUUUGCCAAGUGAGAACUCAAAGCAACAAAGUAACAAAGAAAAGUAAAAACAGAGGUGUAAACAAUGGAUGUGAAUAGACCCGGGGGCCGUAGUGUUUACUAGUGGCUUCUGUCAUGAAAGCAAGUAGAUGGUGGGUGAACAAAUUACUGUCGAGCAAUUGAUAGAACCAUGCAAAGUCCUGACGAUAUCUAUGGCAAUGAUUAUAUCUAUAGGCAUCACGUCCAAAACAAGUAGACCGAUACUUUCUACAUCUACUACUAUUACUCCACACGUCGACCGCUAUCCAGCAUGCAUCUAGUGUAUUAAGUCCAAAAGAACAGAGUAACGCCUUAAGCAAGAUGACAUGAUGUACAUGGACAAUCUCAUAUCAACGACAGAGCCCAUCUUGUUACCCUUGAUGGCAACUACUUAAUGUGUGCCUUGCUGCCCCUACUGUCACUCGGAAAAGUCACCACAUGGUAGAACCCAAAACCAAGCACUUCUCCCAUUGCAAGAAUCAUAGAUCUAGUUGGCCAAACAAAACCCAAGACUCGAAGAGACUUACAAGGAUAUCAAAUCAUGCAUAUAAGAAAUCAGCAAAGACUCAAAUAUAUAUCAUAGAUAAUCUGAUCACAAAUCCACAAUUCAUCGGAUCUCGACAAACACACCGCCAAAGAAGAUUACAUCGGAUAGAUCUCCAUGAAGAUCAUGGAGAACUUUGUAUUGAAGAUCCAAGAGAGAGAAGAAGCCAUCUAGCUACUAACUACGGACCCGUAGGUCUGAAGUGAACUACUCACGAGUCAUUGGAGGGGCGAUGAUGAUGAUGAAGAAGCCCUCUAACUCCAAAGUCCCCUCCGGCAGGGUGCCGGGAAGGGUCUCCAGAUGAGAUCUCGUGGAAGCGGAAGCUUGCGGCGGCGGAAAAGUAUUUUCGAGGCUCCCCUGAUUUUUUGUUGUAUUUUAGGGAAUAUAUAGGCCAAGGAUCUAGGUCAGGGGGCGGCCAGGGAGGCCACAAGCCCUGCCACCGCCGCCUCCCCCUGGUGGCGGAGUGGGGGCUUGUGGGCUCCCAGGAGCCCUCCUGGCUUGGCCCACAGGCCCCCUGAUCUUCUUUCGUUCGGGAAAAAAAUCAUUUCGGGGAUUUUAUCCCGUUUAGACUCUGUUCCAAAAUCAGAUCUGAAAAGAGCCAAAAACACACACAAAAACAGGAACUGGCACUUGGCACUGAAUUAAUAAGUUAGUCCCACAAAAGAUAUAAAAGGUACAUAAAACAUCCAAAGAUGACAAGAUAACAGCGUGAAACCAUCAAAAAUUAUAGAUACGUUUGAGACGUAUCAUCUCCCUGGCGCUCCCCUGCCCUAGCUCUUUGGCCUAUAAAUUCCCUAAAAUCGCAGCAAAAAUCAGGGCAUCCACGAAAACACUUUUCCGCCGCCGCAAGCUUCCGUUUCCGCGAGAUCUCAUCUGGAGACCCUUGUCGGUGCCCUGUCGGAGCGGACUUUGGAGUUGGAGGGCUUCUACAUCAACAUCAUCGCCUCUCCAAUGACUCGUAAAUAGUCCAAUUCACACCUACGGGUCCGUAGUUAGUAUCUAGAUGGCUUUUUCUCUCUCUUGGAUCUUCAAUACAAAGUUCUCCAUUAUCUUCAUGGAGAUCUAUCUGAUGUAAUCCUCUUUGGCGGUGUGUUUGUCGAGAUCCGAUGAAUUGUGGAUUUGUGAUCAGAUUAUCUAUGAAAUAUAUUUGAGUCUUUGCUAAUUUCAUAUUUGCAUGAUUUGAUAUCCUUGUAAGUCUCUCCGAGUCUUGGGUUUUGUUUGGACAACUAGAUCUAUGAUUCUUGCAAUGGGAAAUGUGCUUGGUUUUGGGUUCUACCAUGUGGUGACCUUUCCCAGUGAUAGUAGGGGCAGCAAGGCACACAUUAAGUAGUUGCCAUCAAGGGUAACAAGAUGGGCUCUGUCGUUGAUAUGAGAUUGUCCAUCUACAUCAUGUCAUCUUGCUUAAGGCGUUACUCUGUUCUUUUGGACUUAAUACACUAGAUGCAUGCUGGAUAGCGGUCGACGUGUGGAGUAAUAGUAGUAGAUGCAGAAAGUAUCGGUCUACUUGUUUUGGACGUGAUGCCUAUAGAUAUAAUCAUUGCCAUAGAUAACGUCAUGACUUUGCGCGGUUCUAUCAAUUGCUCGACAGUAAUUCAUUCACCCACCGUCUAUUUGCUUUCAUGGGACAAGCCAGUAGUGAACACUACAGCCCCCGAGUCUAUUCAGAACUAUCGUUUCCACUUUCACUUUUACUUUGCUUGGUUUAGUCUUUGCUUUCAGUUCUCACUUUGCAAACAAUCUAUAAAGGAUUGAUAACCCCUUCAUAGUGUUGGGUGCAAGCUCGUUGUGUUUGUGCAGGUACUUGUGACUUGAACGCUCCUCCUACUGCAUUGAUACCUUAGUUCUCAAACUGAGGGAAAUACUUACCGUCGGUGUGCUACAUCACCCUUUCCUCUUCAAGGGAACACCAACACAAGGCUCCAAGGCCGCGGGGAAAUCCUCUGCAUAUUUUCCAAGGAAGUUCCUAUAGGCGUAGCCGUAGCAACAGGAUUCCUGGCGCCGUUGCCAGGGUAGGUCUGUUGUCGCAGUAGCAGUAGGUAUGGUGGCUGUUUUGGGGAAACAUAUAAUGAGGCUGAUGUAUGACAUAGCGUAUCAUGUCAUGGGUUUGGAUGCACCGGCGGAGUUUGCACCAACUCUCGAUGUGAGAAAGGGCAAUGCAUGGUACCGAAGAGGCUAGCAAAAUAUGGAUGGUGGAAGUGCCAACAAUCGAAUACUCACAUUAGUCCGAAGAACUCAUACACUUAUUAUCGAAGUACAUAUACAAAAAAUGAUGUGAACUAUUGAUACUGAAAGUGCGCUACAUCGACUAGAGGAGGUGAAUAGGAGAUAUUUAGAAUUUCAUCACUGAGGAAAUUCCUUUUGAGGAAAUUCCUCACUAAUGACUAACUUGCAGCGAAACAUCAAAGGAUCAGGGGUGCAAAGUAUCACUACAGCAGUUUUCAAGGUGAAGAAUAUGAAAAGCAGUUUGCAUAGUAUGCAAGCACAGGGAAAGGAGGUGAGGAUUAACUCGCGUGAAGAAUUUGGGGUUGAGGAAUUUCAGAGAAAGUCUUCAGCAAAUUCUUCAAACAGUGACAAUGAAAAUCUUCAACAUACAAUAUGAGGAAUUGAAAGAGUUGAAGAAAUAGAACCCGUUUCAGAGUGAAGACAAUGGUUGAUGUCCCAGUUCCAAAUGUUUUGACAGUUGUACAUCUGGUUUGGAGUGGCUUGGUAUUGAAACCAAAAGACACACAGUCCCGGGACACACAGUCCCUACCGUAUUCUCAUUGAGCUAAGAACACACGGUCCUCGCCCAACACUCGUGGUAAGUCUUGAGGGAAGACUUCCGAACCCUCACAAACUUGGUCACCCGACGAUCCACAAUUGACUGCUGGAUUGCUCUAGACCAUGACGCCUAACCGUCUGGAGGAUGCACAGUCCUCAAAGAUAAAAGGCUUCAGUUCCACACAGUUCCUCAAAGGUAAAAGGUUGCAGCCAACCAGCUAAUGGUUGUGGGGCGGCUAUUUAUAGCCUGGGAGCAUCCCAACAUGAUUUGACAUUAAUGCCCUUAAAUAAUAUGACCGUUGGUGUGGAUAAGAUCAGUGAUGUGGCGCGAAUUGCGGUAAGGGUCGGGACCCUCAACUGUGAGAGUCCUCAUGUCUCUCAUAUUUCUGACUUGAGGCUUUUGGUAGGAUUAGGCUUGGGUUGAGCAUCAUGAGGAAAUUCAUUCCAAAGUGUUACCUCGACCCCCUUUAACAUUACGAUGUUCCUAUGACUCAAGAGUGAAGAAAAUAAAACAUAAAGAAUAAAUCUUCAUGCUUCGAAGUCUUCAGAUUGAUUACUUCAAGACACACCGAAUUCCUCAUCUUCAAUAUCUUCAUGAGGAAUAUCAAUUUCAUCGCAAUUUCUUCGCGAUACAAUUCUUCAGCUUGAGACCAAUUUCUUCAGCCGAAGAUAUACAUUUUUAGGGGUCGAUAUUCAUCGAAUAUUUCAAACUCCUCAACGACUUAUAGAUCCUGUGUACACUCAUGAACACAUUACAUACUUAAACUAUAAGUCUUAAAACCACCAAAAUCACUAAGGGGCACUAGAUGCACUUAUAAUCUCCCCCUUUUUGGUGGUUGAUGACAAUUAGGUUAAGUCUUCAACGGGGAUAAAAAUAUGAAGUGUAAAUACUCAUUUGAGGAAUUUGAAAUCAAGAUACAGAGAGACUCCCCAUGAAGAUGUGCAUAUCUUGAGGAUUUUUCUUUUCACAGCAAAUGCACAUUGAUGAUUUAUAUCAUGGAAAUCUCCCCCCGAGUCUUGUAAAUCAUGCAUACAUAUAACAUAUAAUAUGAAUAAUUUGAGAAUUCAUGAUGAGAAAUGGUGUCUGACGAAUUCUAGCAUGCGUGCAUUAAUAUUUAAUAUUUUGAGGAAUAAGCAUGCGAAGAAAAACGUUCAAAAGCGUCAGAGUAUCAUCGGGCUUAAGUUACAACUCAUUACAUAAAACACUUCAGAAGAGCAAGAGUUUGUAACUUAAUAAAGUUUAUAAGCCCCAAAAUAUAUCCCGCGUGAAGACUAACUCUCAGAUUUCUCCCCCUUUGUCAUCAAGUGACGAAAAGGGACAAAACUGAGGACUAACGCCCCUUUGAACACUUUCAAUUCUUGGCAGUUGAGGAAGACGCGUGAGGAUUCUUGGGAGCAGGCUUCCUCCUUGGUCCAGUGGCAGUGUCUUCUUGGUCUUCAUCAGGUUCUGCAGUGCGGAAUGAAGAAAAGGAACUGUCCUCAAGGUCUGGAACUGGAAUUGGCUUGAACUUCUUCUUUGGUGGUCAUGACCAGUCAAAGUCAUGUGUGAACUCCAAUUCUUCAAGUUCUACUGGAGUCUUCAAAUGAGCCAGUGUGGCCCAAGUGCGAUCAAAAACCUCAUAAAGAUAGUGAUGAUUAAUCUUCACUGCAUUCUGAGUCUCAUUGAGGGCUUUCACAAUGGCGUUUGACCCAUUUGUAAUUGUGAUCGACCUUUUGAUGAAGACUGAGGAGUAGCUCUCUGUUAUUCAUCACCCUUGGGGCAACUGGGCUUGGCAGCUGUGUUUCAGUAUCAUCCCAUGAAGAAUAUGCAUCUGGUUCACGAAAUUGGCCUUCAAGGGGCCGACUACCUUCAUCGAUCAGAGGCUUGCCUUUUCCUUCAACUGUCUCGAAAGUCUUCUUGUUGACUCUGAUUGGAGGCAUAUAUCCAAGGUGAUUAUUGAAAUCAUGAUGAUAGUUGAUGCCUGACCUGCGUCUGAUGAAUCUCGUGAUCCAUGGAGCGUAAAUCUUCAGGUCAAAAGGUGACAUAGCACUGUCAGCCGGAGUCCUCAAAAAUAAUUCGUGAAGAUUUAUGGGGAUGCCAUGGAUGAUGUUGAAGAGGAUAUUCUUCAUGAUGCCUACAACAUCUUCUUCAUCAUCAUGGCCCUUGAUUGGCGCAAGAACACUGCACAGAAUCAUGUAGACUAUCCUGGAUUCAUACUUUAGAUCUUGGACCAGGAAAGUCGUUCUUGGUGGUUGAUCCUUGGCCAAAGGCUUCAUGAGGACUUCCAUCGGCUUAUUUGGCAGCUCCCGUUCAUCAUACAUCUUCACGGCAUGUUCUGAAGGAAUUGACACAGGAAGUACUCGCAGCAGCUCAUUUGUAGGGGCCUUGAAGUGUGUGUGCUAUGUCAUCCAAUCCAUCACCCAAGUGUUGAUAUCUAUUGGAUCUCCAGAGAUGUGCAAAGUUACAUAGAAUUGAAGAACAAUGUCGUUGUUCCAAUCGCAGAUAUCAGUGCAAAGUGGCAGCAGUCCUGCUUCAUGAAGAACGUUGAGGACUCGAGCGAAGCAAGGAAUUCCUUCAAGCUCAACAUGAGUAAUAUGCAUGUGUUGAAAUAUUGUGUUUCUUCCACACAACAUAGAUGCAUAAUAGUUGAGAUAUGUCCUUGUCCAAAACUUCAUGUGCCUGAUGUGAGGCUUUUCAUAAGGAUUUUCUCCGAUGAAAUACAUGUGUUCUUCAUAGAAUGCUUCCUUCUGAAACUUUGGCCUCUUGGAGAAGGGAUGAUGCUGCAUAGGCUGAAGAUUUUGCUGCUUCCCUUGAGGAGAGACGAUCAUGGCAGUUUCCGGAUUGACAACCACAAUAGCAGUUUCUGUAUUUGGUGCAGGGGCAUUUUCUUCAGCAUGUUCCUCAGGAGAGGAAUUUCAUCAGCCUGUGCCUCAGGUUGAGGAUUUUGCUCAGGAUGAGGAAUUUCAUCAACAUGUGCCUCAGGUUGAGGAUUUUGCUCCGGGUGAGGAUUUUCUUCAGCCUAAGCCUCAGGUUGAGGGUUUUGCUCAGGCUUUGGAUUUUCUUCGGGCUGAGAAUCUUCUCUUUGGUUUUCCUCAUCUUGAGGAAUGUGCUUGGAGGAGGAGCCAAAUUCUUCAGGUGUUGCAGCUGAUCCUUGGGCAGGUUCUUCAGGAGUAAUGAAUGUCUGAGGACUGCCAUCAAUUUGAAUUUCUUCAUCAGUGUGUUCCUCAAACUCAGCAGCCUUCAUUUCCUCAUUAGUCAAGUGCUCCUUAUCUUCGCUCUCUAAGGGAAUCAUGGCAUGGGAUGGAGCAAUCUUGAGAGGCACGGCAUCCAAAGGAGCAUUUUCAUCAAGAGAUUUGAGGCGCUUGGCCUCUGUUGAUUCUGGUGUUGAAGAAGUUUUUCUUUUCUUAGCUUCUUUUUCUGCAGCCCUGGCUUUCUUCACGUCUGAUGCAGACGGAGUCAUUUUCUUCACCUUUGAGGAUUUUGGUGAAGGUAUUUUCUCUUCAAGAGGCGGCGCCGUAUCCGUCCUGGCAGUUUCCUCAGCUGCAGCAUUUUCUUCAGCUGGAGCAGAUUCAUCAGCUGGCUUAGAUGCAUCAGCUGGAAUAUCCUUAGCUAUUUCCUCAAUAGCCGGCGCAUCAGCACGGCUUUCUUGAGGCAUUUCCUCAGCAAGGGUUGCUUGUUCUUCCUCUAUCUCAGGCUGCUGUGGUUUCGCUGGAGGAGCAGCCUUUUUGUUGUAAUCAUCAACUGCGUUGGUUGCAAACUUGAUGAAAUUGUUCUUGAGACUUUGACGAUCAGAUAGCUUGGUAUACUUGUCUGUCAAAGUCUUCAGUUCUUCCUGGUUGACACAAGAACAUCGGGCGUCAGGCUGAGGAGAUUUUGUCUGAGAAAUUUCUCCUUCUUCAGCUUUGCAGCCUUUGCUUGUUUGGCUUGCGUCUCCUUCCACUUGGCCUCAUUGAUGAAUGUGGCCACCAUAUGACUGAUGCUCGGGGGAAGCUUCAAGUCAUCAAUGGGUGUGUUGGGGUCAUCAUACCAAACAUUGAUGUAGUCCAACAGGACUUUUGGGUCCAUGGCCAGAAGAAUGGCGCUGCCUGAAGCUUGAGCAACCCGCUCCUGCUUGCUUCUGAUUAUUGCUUGCAGUGUCUCAUCAUUAUAUUAAUCACUUCCUUCUGAUGCAGAAGGGACUUUGAUGACUUUGCUUGGGCUGGGUCUAUUUCCUCUUCCAGCAGUCAUCUUAGUCUUCAAUGGUGUUGGUGAAGACUUUGUCUCUGAGCUCGUUGCAGAAGGAACAGAGGAGUUGGAGAAAGUAGGCAGUUGCUUCACAAUCUGCUUGUGUUCAGGCUUUGAGGCUUGUUUGGUUGUUGAGGGUUUUGGUGCACAUGCAGGCGCAACCUUCUGAAGCUAUUUCUCCUCAGGCUUUGAAUCCUUUGAUUUCUGUGGCACAUGCUUCACUUGAGGAAUGGCCGUGCCAGACGUUUCAGCAGUUGAGGAGGUGGCUGCGGCAGCAGCAAUAGCAGAUUCUUCGUUGAAUUUCCUCACAUCGGCUUCUGCUUGCUUGUGAAGCUUUGACAAGUGUUUAGUCUUUUCCUCAGGAUAAUCAUCAAUCGUAUUGAGGCUUUAAGGAUGGGCAUCUUGAUGAUCCUCGAGAGGAGGCCUUUUGCCAGGUGGCUUAAGAGAGAAUUUCUUUGCGUACUUUGGAGUGACGAAUCGGUAUUCCUUCCACUCGUUAGCCCACCAGCAUUCUAUCUUUUGGAGCCUUAUUUUCCUCUUGGGCCUUGUUUCUUGCUCAUCUGGUGUGCAGUAUUCCAAGUAUAUAUCCUCAGGGAUAUCAAUGGCAGUGUUUUGUUCAAGCUUCUUGCCACCCUUCUGCUUCCUGUCAUCUUCCUUUUUCUUCUGCUGAGGAAAUUGAACUCUUGAGGAUUCUGAUGACACUGCAGAUUUUCUUCAAAAAUGCUGCAAAUGAGUUAAGUUGAUGAGAACCUAGAGAUUCAUCAGCUGACAUUUUUGUACCUGUGAAUAGAGUAUAGUUGCAAGGAAUUUGGAGAGGUUAUAUGCGUUCUCAGAUUUGAAGAAGGUGAAUUUUUUUUUAAAGUUGAGGAAUUUGACCAGUGGGUUGAGCAAUUUGUCUAAGCACUCUGAUCUUGGGUUCCAGAGUUGUACAGAUUCGAAAAUUUGCACAAUUGAGGAAUCUCGUGAAGACUUUUAGUUGCUUAGUGAAAUUCAUCAACAGUUUGAGGAAUAAGCAGUGUUUGAGGAACAGAGAUUGAUAGACACUGAGGAAAACAUAUUCCACGAAUCUAACGUAAAAUAGUAGAUUGAAAGGGACUGUAAAAAUAGGGUUUUAUUUACCCUAUAUAGCAUGAAGAACAGAAGAAGUAGCAGUAGAUGCUCUUCGGUGCGAGUCCACUGUGCCCUAACUUGGCGACAGAAGACGGCUAUGGCGGCGGCGGAUGAAGACGGUCCGGUUCCGGCGUGAUUUCGGCGGCGGAGAGGUCGAGGCAGUGAAGCUGUUCCUCGUUGGCGACGAAGCUUCUAGCGGUGGUGCUAGGUCUUCGUUGUAGCAGAGAGGAGGUCGAGAGAGAGAACAAAGAGUUUUGACCGAAGGGGGUAAUGACAUAUUUAUAGCUCAGGUGAAAACUGUCUGCCGAUUCUUUCGGACCGAACUACCCUUUCCCUUUCGUCUCCACAGGACACGUGUAGCAACUGUUUAAAGCGGUGGAGAUCGUGCUUAUCUGAUCAUGGAAAGUGGGGUUCAUUUACUGUGUAACAAUAUAAAAAUCAUUUUUGAGAAUUUGAUGAUUUUGUUACAAAAUCAUCAACUUACAAGGACGCUGUGAAGAUUUUGAACAAAGUUUCAAGUAGAACGCAUAUGAAGAAUUGAAUAGACUGGGUGAGUAUAGCAUAGAGGGGAAGUAGGGUCCGAUCACAUUCACUUAGAUGAAAUAUCAAGUUGAAAAAUAGCUAUAAGUGAAUGUUGUUGAGGACUUUGAAAUCACAGUCUAUAUAUAUAUCUAGGCAAAUGAAAAUCAUCAAGUGUUUUUGAAGAUUUUGAUUAACUUGAGGAUUUUGUGACAAAGCGCCAUGUUGAUGAAUUUCAGCUUUGAAUACCCCCCCCCCCCCCCCGUUUGAAGAAAAACAACUUUGAAAAAAAUCAACUUUGAGGAAAAACAACCUUGAAGAAAUUCAACUUGAGGAAUUUCAAAGUUGGGUGGUGGCGUGACCCACCGUAUAAGAAUGAUGAUUUCAGGCACCGCGUACAAUUGUCGUAGGGUCCUGAGAAUCAAUUUCUUCAUUAAUUUCCUCACACUAAGAGUGAUAUUCUUCAUUGGUUGAAGAAAAUCGAUUCUUCAUGUGUUGCACAUCUAAGUCAUCAAUUUUGCGUAAGUGUUAGGAUAUGUGCAUGUUUUUACAAAACAUUUGAAGAUUCUAAGAUAUUUAGCUCACACCGCAACUUGCAAAACCUUUUCUCAUCCAAGGGCUUGGUGAAGAUAUCUGCUAGUUGAUCGUCGGUCUUCACAUGUUCGAUGAGGAUAUUGCCCUUGAGGACAUGGUCCCGAAGAAAAUGAUGACGAAUCUGGAUGUGCUUAGUCUUCGAGUGUUGUACAGGGUUGUAUGCAAUCUUGAUUGCACUCUCAUUGUCGCAGUAGAGAGGCACAUUCUUCAUGUUGAUGCCGUAGUCCUUGAGGGUCUGCUUCAUCCAUAGUAAUUGAGCACAACAUGAACCAGCAGCAAUGUACUCAGCUUCGGCAGUGGAGAGAGAAACGCAGUUCUGUUUCUUUGAGGACCAGCAGACUAAUGAUCUUCCAAGGAAAUGACAUGUUCCAGAAGUUGACUUGCGAUCCACACGGUCAUCAGCAUAGUCAGAAUCAGAAUAUCCCACAAGAUGAAGAUUUGAGCCCUUGGGAUACCAUAAUCCUAGUGUUGGUGUGUGAGCUAAGUAUCGAAGAAUAUGCUUCACAACCUUAUGGUGUGAUUCCUUCGGUUUUGCUUCAAAACGUGCACACAUGCAAACACUAAGCAUUAUAUCUGGCCUAGAUGCACACAAAUACAAUAAAGAGCCAAUCAUGGAGCGAUAUACCUGCUGAUCGAAUUCUUUACCAUUUUCGUCAGUGCAGAGGUGGUCGUUGGUAGGCAUUGGAGUCUUGGCACCUUUGCAUUCAUGCAUGUCGAAUUUCCUUCGAACAUCCUUGAGGUAUUUCUCCUGUGAUAUGAAGAUCCCAUUGCGUUGUUGACGAAUUUGAAGACCUAAGAAGAAUUUCAGCUCCCCGUCAUAGACAUCUGAUAUUCUUCACUCAUCAUGUAAGCAAAUUCAUCACUAUAACGUCUGUCAGUACAGCCAAAUAUGAUGUCAUCGACAUAUAUCUGGCAUACAAAUAGUUCAUUAUCAUAGGAUUUUGUGAAAAGAGUUGGAUCGAGUGAACCAGGUUUGAAGCCUUUCUUCAUGAGGAAUCCCUUCAAUGUAUCGUACCACGCCCGAGGGGCUUGCUUGAGACCAUAGAGUGCCUUUUUGAGUCUGAAGACUUUGUCUGGAUUCUUUGGAUCCUCAAAACCUAGGGGCUGAGCAACAUAUACUUCUUCCUCAAGCUUACCAUUGAGGAAUGCACAUUUCACAUCCAUUUGAUAUAAGAUAAUGUUAUGAUGAUUAGCAUAAGCAAGUAGUAUUUGAAUAGCUUCAAGUCUAGCAACGGGUGCAAAAGUUUCAUCGAAAUCAAUUCCUUCAACCUGUGAGUAGCCUUGGGCUACAAGUCGUGCCUUAUUCCUCACCAUUUGACCAUCCUCAUCUUGCUUGUUUCGGAAAAUCCACUUGGUGCCAAUGAUAUUGUGCUUGCAAGGAUCUGGUAGUUUGACGAGCUCCCAUACGUCAUUCAGCUUCAAUUGAAAAAGUUCGUAUUACAUGGCUUGAAUCCACUCCGGUUCCGUGAAAGCCUCAACAACUUUUGAAGGUUCUGUGAUAGACAAAAAAGAAGAAUGCCCACAAAAGUUAACUAAGUGUGAAGCUUUUGAGCGAGUGAGAGGACCUGGCGCGUUGAUGUCAUCGAGGAUUUUGUCGAGUUCUACUUCAUUUGCAAUCCUCGGAUGAGCUGGUUGAGGAUUUCGUCUGGGUUGAGGAAUUGGUUCUGGAGCAAUUUCCUCAGGAGCAUCUUCUUGAUUUUCAUCAGUGCUGGGAAUGAUUUCUUCAGCAAUUUCCUUAGUGGGAACAAGGUCUUCAGUAGCUUUGAGCUUUAUUGCUUCCUCAGGAGACAACUUAUCUGGAUCAGGAGGCAAUUGCUCUCUUUGCGAGCCAUUAGUUUCAUCGAACCGCACAUCUACAGUUUCGACAACCUUGUUGUGAUAGGUGUUGAAGACUCUGUAGGUGUGCGAGUCCUUUCCAUAACCAAGCAUAAAACCCUCAUGUGCCUUAGGUGCAAACUUUGAGCUAUGGUGAGGAUCUCUAAUCUAGCAUUUUGCACUGAAGACUUUGAAAUAACUUACAUUGGGUUUCUUGUCAGUGAGGAGUUCAUAUGAGGUUUUCUUGAGGAAUUUGUGAAUAUAUACCCUGUUGAUGAUAUGGCAAGCAGUGUUGAUUGCUUCAGGCUAGAAACGACGAGGAGUCUGAUAUUCUUCAAGCAUGGUUCUUGCCAUCUCAACAAGAGUCAUGUUCUUUCUUUCGACGACGCCAUUCUGUUGAGGAGUAUAAGGAGAAGACAAUUUGUGAGUAAUACCAAGUUCAUCAAGAUAAUUAUGAAUACUAGUGUUUUUGAAUUGAGUUCCAUUAUCACUCCUGAUGUGUUUGAUCUUGACGCCGAAGUUCGUCGAGGCCCUUGAGGAAAAUCGUUUGAAGACUUCCUGCACUUCAGUUUCAUACAGAAUGAUAUGCACCCAAGUGUAUCUUGAAUAAUCAUCAACUGUGACAAAUCCAUAUAAAUAUGCGGCAUUUGUUAGUGUGGCAUAAUGAGUAGGUCCAAAUAGAUCCAUGUGAAGCAAUUCAAAUGGACGAGUAGUGAUCAUGAUAGUCUUCGAGGGGUGCUUGGAUCUGGUCAUUUUCCCAGAUUCACAAGCACCGUAGAGGUGGUCCUUGAGGAAUUUGACUGAUUCGAUGCCAAUGACAUGCUUCUUCUUCAUGCCUGCAUGACUAACUCUUCGAUGCCAUAGCCACCCUUCUGAGGUUUUUGCUAGUAAGCAAGUGGCUAGUUGCGGACCUGUAGAGAAAUCAACAAUGUACAAAUCCCCUCUUCUAACACCUUGGAAGACUUUGGAUCUGUCAGAUUCCAUGAUGACAACACAUCUAUAUCUUCCAAAGAUAACAACCAUAUCAAGAUCACAAAGCAUUGAGACUGACAUGAGGUUAAACCCAAGGGAUUCUACAAGCAUCACUUUGUCCAUGUGCCUGUCCUUGGAAAUAGCCACUUUGCCAAGUCCCAAUACCUUGCUUUUACCUUUGUCAGCAUAAGUGAUUUGUUUCAGGUGUGAUGGAGUUAGUGGCAUAUUCAUCAGCAAGCUUUUGUCACCAGUCAUGUGAUGUGUGCAGCCAUUAUCAAGAACCCACUCAGUACUCUUGGGUUUGUCAUCCUGUAGAUGAAUUAGUACAGCUUACCAUCUCAUAUGCUUCAGACUUGAAGAAUAUGAUAUCAAUGUCAUCAGAUAGGAAUUUCAUCAUAAACAGUAAUUAUGAGGACAUGUGAAAUAUUUUCAUUUCAUCAAUAUUAGCUUGCGUCCUAUCAAGCAUUUUCCUCAGGUCUCCAGCAAAUUCUUCAGAUGAUGAAUUUCAUCUGGAGACCUGUCUUGCAGAAGUGAUUAGUUCAAUUUCUUCACCACCCACAUCUGAAGGGGUGGUAAAGCAUUCAUCAUCCUGCGAGCACCAUAUGAGAAAGGGGGCAUUGAAGCUAAUGCACUUCUCUUAACAGUAGGGGGUUAAAGUACUCAAAUGAAUAUGCAGAGAAUUUCUUUGAGGAUUUAUGGACAUAAUGAUUUGAAGAAUAACGCUCAUAUUCAUAUUCCUUGUAAUUUCCCUGCAUGUUAGAAGCAUUAGCAUGGGUACGAGCAUAGUUGUGACCAGUUGAGGAUUUUGAUCCUCUUGAAGACUUUGGUCCUCCUGAGGAAUUUGAUCUGGUGUCCAGAUUCUUCAUAGGUGGUGUCAUGAGGACAUUCACCUCAAGAUUUUCAAGGCAACUUUUUGGGACCCAGAUUUUCCUCAGGGGUGGUCCAUUCCUGCAAUUAGUUCCAACAUAUCGAGCAAAUACUUCACCAGAUUGAUUUUUGAACAGUUUAUAGUUGGAGUCAAAUGACUCAUCUGAGGAAUAAGAUAAUUCACAUGAAAAGCCUGUUAGAUUGGAUGGAUCAACAGGAGGCCCUUUAGCAGCAACCCAUGAGGUUUUGGAAUACUUCUCAGGUUUCCAGUAUGAUCCAUCAGCAUUCAAUUUCCUCUCAAAGGCAAUUCCUUCUUUCCUCGGGUUCCUGUUCAAAAUCUGCUUUUUGAGCACAUCGCAAAGGGUUUGGUGCCCUUUGAGACUUUUGUACAUGUCUGUCACAUACAAUUCCUUCAGCCCUGCAUUUUCAUCAGUGGCAUUUGUGGUUUCCUCAAGUGAGGAAUUUGAUACUACAAGAGCAGUUGAAGAAUUUGUAGCAAUAGAAGCAUUUGAUGAUUCUGGUGAAGAAUUAGCAGUUUCAUGUUCGAUGCAUUUAAGACAUGGAGGAAUGAAUUUAGCCUGAGCGACACUGAUUUGUUGAGCGAGUAAUGAAUCAUUUUCCGUUCGAAUAUCAUUGAUGACCCACAAGUGUAGGGGAUCUAUCAUAGUCCUUUCGAUAAGUAAGAGUGUCGAACCCAACGAGGAGCAGAAGGAUCUGACAAGUGGUUUUCAGCAAGGUAAUCUCUGCAAGCACUGAAAUUAUCGGUAACAGAUAGAUGUGUGGUAAGAUGAUUCGCAACAAGUACCAGGUAACAAUAGUAACAAAAGUGUAGAAAAGUGGCCCAAUCCCUUUUGUAGCAAGGGACAAGCCUGGACAAACUCUUAUAGGAGGUAAAGCGCUCCCGAGGACACAUGGGAAUUUUUGUCAAGCUAGUUUUCAUCAUGUUCAUAUGAUUCGCGUUUGCUACUUUGAUAGUUUGAUAUGUGGGUGGACCGGUGCUUGGGUGCUGCCCUUACUUGGACAAACAUCCCACUUAUGAUAAACCCCUCUCGCAAGCAUCCGCAACUAUGAAAGAAGAAUUCAGACAAAGUCUAACCAUAGCAUUAAACUAGUGGAUCCAAAUCAGCCCCUUACGAAGCAACGCAUAAACUAGGGUUUUAGCUUCUGUCACUCUAGCAACCCAUCAUCUACUUACUACUUCCCAAUGCCUUCCUCUAGGCCCAAAUAAUGGUGAAGUGUUAUGUAGUCGACGUUCACAUAACACCACUAGAGGAAAAAAACAUACAACGCAUCAAAAUAUCGAACGAAUACCAAAUUCACAUGACUACUUAUAGCAUGACUUAUCCCAUGUCCUCAGGAACAAAAGUGACUACUCACAAAGCAUAAUAAUAUUCAUGACCGGAGAGGUAUUGAAUAGCAUCAAGGAUCUGAACAUAUAAUCUUCCACCGAGUAAUCCAACUAGCAUCAACUACAAAGAGUAAUUAACACUAUUAGCAACCUUACAAGUACCAAUAGGAGUCGCGAGACGGAGAUUGGUUACAAGAGAUGAACUAGGGUUUGGAGAUGAGAUGGUGCUGAUGAAGAUGUUGAUGGUGAUGAGUCCCCUCCGAUGAGAGGAGUGUUGCUGAUGACGAUGGCGACAAUUUCCCCCUCCAGGAGGGAAGUUUCCCCGGCAGGACGACCACGCCGGAGCUGUAGAUUGGUUGUGCUCAAGUUCCACCUCAUGGCGGUGGCGAUUCCUCCCAAAAGCAUCCUCUUGAUUUUUUUGGAACGAAACCCUCCUUAUAGCAAAAGAGGGGGGGCCGCCAGGGGGUAGGCCGCGCCUAGCAGGCUUGUGGCCUCCUGCUGGCUCCCCUCUGGUACUUCUUCGGCCCAGUAUUUUUUAUAAAUUCCAAAAUAAAUCCUCGUUGAUUUUCAUGGCUUUUGGAGUUGCGCAGAAUAGGUAUCUCAAACUUGCUCCUUUUUCAAGCCAGAAUUCCAGCUGCCGGCAUUCUCCCUCUUCAUGUAAGCCUUGCAAAAUAAGAGAGAAAAGACAUAAGUAUUGUACCGUGAAGUGUAAUAACAUCCCAUAAAGCGAUAAAUAUCAACAUAAAAGCAUGAUGCAAAAUGGACGUAUCAAUCAUCAUGAGAAAUCCUGAGCUUCUCAAGGUCAAGUUUCCAUUGAAGAAAUUCGUAGGAAAGUUUCUCAUGAUCAGCGAGGAGUGUGACAUGACGAUCUUGAAGGUUAUCAAAUCUGGAAUGAGGACUUUUCAUAUCUUUAGUGAAGAUUUGGGUAAGAUUCAUUUCAUCAUUCAACAUGUCAUCGCUUCUGUCUAGCAGUUUCUGAAGCUUUUCUAGGGCAGUUUGUUGUUUAGUAGCAAUGAUAGCAAGUUUACCGUAACUGGGUUUUUUAUAAUCAUCAGGUUCACAGUCACUUGAAUCAGAGGAGGAAGCAUCAUUCGGUACCUUUGAACCUUUUGCCAUGAACCAAUAGGUUGGAGCGAAGUCAUCAGUGUGUAUGGUGUUAUCAUUUUCUUCAAGGUUGAAGAUUGACUUGCUGACGAAUGUGGUUGCAAGUGCAAGACUAGCCUGUCCAGAUUCUAAGUCUUCAUCGGAACCCUCAUCUUCAUCACAUUCCUCACAUUCUGCCUCAGAAUCCAUUUCUUUGCCAAUAAGUUCCCGAGCUUUUCUGAAACUAGUCUUCUUGUGCGAUGAGGACUUUGAGGAUGAGGAUUUUGAAGAUUUCUUCUUUUUCUUUGAGUCAUCAGAACUUUCAUCCUUGUAUUUCUUAUUCUUUGAUUCCUUCACCGAGUGAGGACAAUCAGCAAUGUAGUGACCUGAUUUCUUGCAUUUGUGGUAGGUUCUUUUCUUGUAGUCCUCAGAUGAAGAUUCUGAUUUCCUCAUAUCUCUUCUUGAAGAUUUACCAAACUGACCAUGUCUUGUAAACUUCUGGAAUUUCCUGACGAGCAUUGCAAGCUCCUGUCCAAAUUCUUCAGGAUCACCAAUGUUGCCAUCCGAGUCUUCUUCUUCGGAUGAGGAAAUUGCUUUGGCCUUCAGUGCACGAGGUCUAGAAUAGCUUGGUCCAUAUAGAUCUCUCUUUUCUUCUUGUUGGAAUGCAUGAGUAUUGAGUCUUUCGAGUAUAUCAGCAGGAUCGAGCAUCUUGUAGUCUGCUCUUUCUUGAAUCAUCAGAACUAAAGUAUCAAAUGAAGAAUCCAAAGAUCUUAGCAGUUUCUUCACAACUUCAUGAUCAGUAAUGUCUCGAGCUCCUAGUGCUUGCAGUUCAUUUGAUAUGUUAGUGAGGCGAUCAAAGGUAUCUUGGCAGCUUUCAUUGUCAAGCCUCUUGAAGCGAUUGAAGAGAUUGCGAAGAACAUCAACACGAGAAUCAUGCUGGGUUGAUACUCCUUCAUUUACUUUGUAAAGCCUUUCCCAGAUAAGUUUUGCUGAGCCCAAAGCACUCACUCUGCCAUAGUGACCUUUGCUCAGAUGGCCACAAAUGAUAUUCUUCGCUUGAGAAUUAAGUUGCUUGAAUUUCUUCACAUCAGCGGCAGAGACAGUAGCAGUGAUGAUAGGGACACCAUGUUCCACAAUAUACCAAAGAUCAUUGUCAAUAGCUUGUAGAUGCAUCUGCAUCUUGGUCUUCCAGAAGGGAAAAACUUUUCCUUCGAAAGUAGGACAUCCUCCGGUAACCUUGACCAUGCCUGCAGUCGACAUAACUAAAACUCUAGGUGGUUAAACCAAAAUCACACAGAACAAGGGAGUACCUUGCUCUGAUACCAAUUGAAAGUGCGUUAUAUCGACUAGAGGGGGUGGAUAGGAUAUUUUUAGAAUUUCAUCACUGAGGAAAUUCCUUUUGAGGAAAUUCCUCAUUGAUGGCUAACUUGCAGCGGAAACAACAAAGGAUCUGGGGUGCAAAGUAUCACUACAACAAUUUUCAAGGUGAAGAAUAUGAAAAGCAGUUUGCACAGUAUGCAGGCACAGGGAAAGCAUGUCAGGAUUAACUCGCGUGAAGAAUUUGGGGUUGAGGAAUUUCGGAGAAAGUCUUCAGCAAAUUCUUCAAACAGUGACAAUGAAAAUCUUCAACAUACAAUAUGAGGAAUUGAAAGAAUUGAAGAAAUAGAACCUGUUUCACAGUGAAGACUAUGGUUGAUGACCCAGUUCCAACUGUUGUGACAGUUGUACAUCUGGUUUGGAGCGGCUUGGUAUUGAAACCAAAAGACACACAGUCCCUACCGUAUUCUCCUUGAGCUAAGAACACACAGUCCUCGCCCAACAUUCGUGGUAAGUCUUCAGAUCAAACGUCCAAACCCUCACAAACCUGUUCACUCGGUGAUCCACAAUUGACUGCUGGAUUGCUCUAGACCAUGACACCUAACCGUCUGGAGGAUGCAUAGUCCUCAAAGUUAAAAGGCUUCAGUCCCACACAGGAACAAAUUCUUCAGUGAUGCUCAAUUGUCACAUCCCUCACACCUUAAUCAAGUUAGCUUUGUGCUCAUGUUUUCUUUGCAUUGCAUCUAGGAAAUUUUCAACAAGAACAAAGUAAGUGGUGAAGGAAAAUUCAACAAACUCUAGCCACUUCUCAAAUUAAGGGAAAUUUCAAAACUAGUUAAAAUCAAUGAACCCAAAAUGGCCUUAAGAAAAGUUCAAUCUUUCUGAUAAUUCUUGAAAACAAAAAAGCAAUAAAGGAAACCAUUUAUUUUAUACUCUUGGCAUUUUAAAUAAAUGCAAAAGCUACUGGUUUCAAGUUUUAAAUUUGAAAUCAGAAACUUUAAGUUUUCAAAAAUGUUGAAACCUUUAGGAAUGAUUGGAUACAUUCCAACUCAUAUUUUGGUGUGUUCAAAAUAGUUUUUACAAACUAUUUUGGGAGCUGAAAUAAAUAGCAAAUAAAUAGUUGUCAAAACAUAAACAAAACAGAAAAGAAAAGAGAAAGAAAAAAAGGAAAAACCUUACCUGUCGCCGUCCCAGCCCACCAGGGGCUCCCUGGUCAUCUUCCUCCUCCUGCCAGUAGGCAGGGGAGAAGAUGAGCACGGCGGCCGAGCCCGGCCACCUCCUGCCUGCCUGCCCGCUGCUGGAGGCCUCCAGGAGCGCCAGCGUGACGCCUGCGCCUUCUUAUCCUCCUCCCCGCGGCUCUAUCCUCUCCCCUAAGCUUCAAUCCCCUUUUCCCCCUCUCGGAUCUCUCUCUCCCCGAAGCUCCGAUCGUCGUCGAUCCGUCGUCUCCCGGUCCUCCCCGACCCUGCCGGCAGCCUCACAAGAUCCGUCGUGAGCUCCUCUUCCUGUUCCCCCUCUUCCCGAGGCUUUCCCCCUCCUUUAAUCAUGUUAUCCGCCGGAGCCCGAAGGACCUCGUCGCCGGCCAUGUCAUUGUCGUCGUUGUGGUACUCAGCUCGCGAGGCCGAGCUCAGGAAUGAGCUCCUCGAGCUCUGUAGAUGGCGUAGGGCUUCUCUCCCAGCUCGCUAGUCCCCUGCAUCGGCACUCCCGUCGAUGCCCGAGCCACAGCCGCCACUGAACUCAUCGCCGGCGUGGAUUCCGGUGACCACCGGGUCCAGCUCCACUCCCUUUAGAUGCGGCGUUUCACUAGCUGCCCGUAGCACUAUUCUGCGCCCAAAACCGACGGCCGUAGCGCCGUUUAGCUCUCUUCGGCGAGCCCUCCGCCGCGCCCAUGGUCGCCGCCGGCCAUAUUCCGGCGAGGAACGACGUGGCUAGCCUAACCCAGAAGUUUAAAGACUAAACACUCACUGACAGUGGGCCCAAGGCCAAGUCAAACCCACUUAGGGGCUGGUCAGCGCGGGAUUAGCCCCUGAGACGCUGACCAGUGGGUCCCCCUGUCAGGUUUGACCUCAUCAGGUCAGUUGACCUGCUGAUGUCAGGCUGACGCAAUAAAGGGGUUUUCCAGUAUAAAAAUAAUUCCAAAAAUGUUUAAAACUUCUAAAAUUCAUAGAAAUUAAUCUGUAACUCCAAUGAAAAUAAUUUAUAUAUGAAAAAGUAUCAGAAAAAUUCAAGGAAUCUGAAUAUCUCAUUUUAAAACAUGUUUGAAAAUGUUACAAAACUCAAACAUGUACAUUAAUGAAUAAGUUAAUUCUUAUAAAUACUUUGUAGAUGGAAUUUGGAAAAUAUUUAAAUUUCACUAUAAAUGACAUGAUCAAACACUGUCCUAAUUACAAACCAGCAACCUAACAUGUCAUCCCAUGCAUGUAAAAGAAGUAGAUCUGAGCGUCGGGUCGAAUCAAUUAAAAUGAUAUUCGAGAAUACCUCGUUUGAAGUGAUAUUGAAUUUGAUUCAAAUCAACUUCAAACCUAAUACAUGUUAGCCAUAAUAGUAUAUCACCUUGCAUCCUCAUGCCAUGCUCAUGCGUCAUAUUGAUUGCAUAUGUUUGAUAUUGAUUGUUGUCAUUCCUUUCGGUAGGCUCCGCUCCCCCGGAUUCCACCGAAUAUCCGUCUGACGGAUAUUGUCACUCCUCUGAGCAACAAGGCAAGCAACCAUUUUUGAUCAUCCCGAUAAAUCCCAUGUUCUUGCUCCUCCACUUACUUAUUGCAUUAGGAUCAAAUGCUUUUGCCACGUUAGUUGAACCCACUUCCUUUGCAUGACCUAUCCUUGUCACAGUAAAUAGCUGAACCUUGCAACCUAGCAUACCUGGUAGUUGCUUGAGCCAUGAUGUGCCUUAUCCUGCUAUGCAUGUUAUGCUUAGAGUUGUGUAUGGUCUGUCAUCUCGGAGAUGAGCAGAAUUGUGAGAAUGUGUUCGGUGAGCAAAGGUUGUGUGUCGAACCUAAUUUGGUAAAGGUACCGGUGAAAGGCUAUGUAGGAGUACAUGGCGGGUUGUUUCAUUGGAACCGUCCUUAGGAACUGAGUUCCGUGUAUGUAAUCCAAGACGAGAUACUACCACAUGUUGGGCCCUGAAAUAUGACCCUGCUCGACUUAUUAAUCGCUUAGUACUCGGUCCAGGAGUUGCAAGUAGUUUCUGGUGUUUAUAGUCAUGCUGGAGGCCGUGCAUGGUGCUGACCUGAGAGGUGGGCUGUGAUGCGGUAGGCAGUGGCACGGUGUACCAAGUGGCACCCGGAUGGUGGGCUUGGGAACCCUGCACACAUCGUUUGAGGCCGUGGCGGAAACCUCGGCCGGACUUUCGUACGGGUUACUCUCAGAUAGGCGAUAAACCUGGACUAGGUACUAAUGUGGUUAACGGUCAUGGCCGACUCCCUCGCUGGGCUUCCGCUUGAAGGUUGCCGAGGUGCAUGACAUGCACAUGGCGAUAAGCGGCGAGAGCGUGUGUGACGAAGUACACCCCUGCAGGGUUAUGAUCUAUUCGAAUAGCCGCGUCCGCGGAUAUGGACUACUUGGAGACAUAUGUUGUUCAUAGAUAACUUAAAUGGCUACUCUUAAAAUUGUCAAGAUAAGCGUGAGUGUCGCGGACGGCAUUUCCGUAUGGAGACGGAAUGAUUCCACGAUGGUGUAUUGUUGUGGUGUUAGUGGACUAGUGUGCGAGAAAUCAAGUUGUCAAAAUUAUUUUAAAACGCAAGUUGUCUAGCCACGAGUCAAAUGCUGGCUUUCCGCUUUAAACCCCACAAUACCCUAUUGAUACAUUGCAUGAGUAGAUAGUUAUCCUAAAGUCUUGCUGAGUACCUCCGUACUCAUGUUUGCUUAAUAAAUGUUGCAGAGGUUGCUAAUGACCCUAAUGAAGGGUUCUUCAUAGACAUCAACGACGACGAGUAGUUGGUGUCCCAGCUACGAUCUGGCCCUAGGAUGGGUCUGUAGUAUAGUCAGGCCAUGUGCCUUCUAGUUGCACCUGUCUGUACUCGGACAGUUUUAAACACUUCCGCUGGCUUGUAACUGAAUGACUGCUAUUAUGGGUCGUGAGACCCUUACUGUGUAAUAUUAUGUGUGUGGCUCUUCUGAGCCUUUUAAAUAAAGCUUGUAUGUUUAUGGUUAUGUUGUGAUGCCAUCGAUGUAUCUAUACAUAUCGGUAUGCCAUGCGUACGUGUGUCGUACUUGAUAUGUAUGGGGUUCGAUUACCUAGCCGUGAACUUUAGUAGCACUCCUUACAGGGAAAUGCCCCUUUGUGAUCCAACGAGCCAUGGUAGCUCGCUNNNNNNNNNNNNNNNNNNNNNNNNNNNNNNNNNNNNNNNNNNNNNNNNNNNNNNNNNNNNNNNNNNNNNNNNNNNNNNNNNNNNNNNNNNNNNNNNNNNNCACAUCGCAUCCCUUUGCGGUCUCACGCACGGUUAACCCCACGGCUGCAGCCUUACCUUAGCCGGGACCGCUUGCGUCUUUUGACUCACGUAUGCAACUGUGUCGCUAGGAUUCCAAUGUCAAAGAACCCGGAUCGACAAGUCUAGUCAUAAACCAAAGUGGCAGUACCGCACAGGGACAGGCAUACAUGACCCAACAAAGCAGGUGUCGGUCACCAGCGAAUGUAGAGGAGUCGUAGCAAGCUACAAGGACUCCAUUACACCGCGUGACAUUUCCCCAAAGGGGACAGACACAACAGCUAAGAAGGACACAUGCCGGUCAACCAAUGUGUCCGGAGCAGUAGCGAGCUACCAUGGCUCGUUGGAUCACAAAGGGGCAUUUCCCUGUAAGGAGUGCUACUAAAGUUCACGGCUAGGUAAUCGAACCCCAUACAUAUCAAGUACGACACACGUACGCAUGGCAUACCGAUAUGUAUAGAUACAUCGAUGGCAUCACAACAUAACCAUAAACAUACAAGCUUUAUUUAAAAGGCUCAGAAGAGCCACACACAUAAUAUUACACAGUAAGGGUCUCACGACCCAUAAUAGCAGUCAUUCAGUUACAAGCCAGCGGAAGUGUUUAAAACUGUCCGAGUACAGACAGGUGCAACUAGAAGGCACAUGGCCUGACUAUACUACAGACCCAUCCUAGGGCCAGAUCGNNNNNNNNNNNNNNNNNNNNNNNNNNNNNNNNNNNNNNNNNNNNNNNNNNNNNNNNNNNNNNNNNNNNNNNNNNNNNNNNNNNNNNNNNNNNNNNNNNNNUUCUUCUUCUUCUUCUUAGGAGGCGGCUUGGUUGUUUUCUGGACAAUCACCUUGGGCCUUCGAGACCAAAAUGUUGAUCCUCUCUGAUUGAUAUAAUGACAGUUCAAAUCUGGAACAUUGGUGAAUAUAUUGAAAGAAUAAAAGGAGGCGACUUAGGUUGUUACUGGUGGAGGCGGGUUGGAGAGGCAGAAAGGCUUGAGCCCAAUCUUGGAGCAGUUCUCUAAAGGCUCGCUAGUUAACUUCUUGAUCAUUUCAACAAUGUCUUCUUCAGUAAGUCUUGUAUGGAAGAAACAUUGGGGGUGGUUCAAGCUACCAUCAUACUCACACAUCAGGCCAUCCCGACGACUCAAAGGCAGAAUCCUCCACUCCACCCAACAACAUAUUAGGUCAAUCCCAGUAAGCCUGUUGUUGGUCAAAGACCUUAGCUUGGAGAAAGCACGGAUAAAAGUUGAUUCUUCUUCUUCACUUAGUUUUUCUGGCAGCUUGAAAUCCAUGGGCAAGCGUUCUUCCGUGAAACCCGGAACUGGGUUCUCGUUGGGUGGAGAUGUGUCCAGCCUUUGGGAUGGUUGGGAAGAAUGAUAGAUGGGAACCCGCAUUCACAUCAUGGUUGAAUGUUAACCACGCCCCCAAGUUCCAAGCAGGGCCUGCUGGUGAAUUCGGUUUGGCGGUUCAAAUAGAAGAAUUUCCUAAACAGUAGCACUGUGGGUUCUAUCUGCAGAUAAGCCUCGCAAAACACCUGGAAUUGGCAGAGGUUGCUGAUGGAGUUUGGCCCCAAGUCUUGAUGGUGAAGGUUGAGAAAGUGCAAAACAUCUCUGAAAAACUUUGACCCGGGAAGCUUGAAGCCUCGUUCAAGGUGAUCAACAAAAACGACUACCUCCCCAUCGGCAGGGUGGAGAGUCGCCUCACCUGGGGCGGUCUGCCAGCCAACGACUUCUUUGGGGUCAAGAUAACCCGCCUUAACAAAUUUAUCAAGAUAGACAUCGUUGAUUUUGAUUGGUAACCAAUUGCAUUUCGAGAUAGUGCCCAUGACUACAAAAGGAAGGAACAAGACGGUUUAUUAGAAACCACAUAGUGGCAACUCGCUAGUUGGAUGAUCUACAUUACAACUACGGGGAUAUUAUGACUCGCCAAUUAAAUAAGCAAAGGUGUAUCUAUGGGGAUAUUCUAACUUGCCAUGGUGGAAGGAGGCGAGUAGCAAUUCUAAAAGGGUUUUUCCUUAGGGAUAUUCCCGGAAGGAGGAUAAAACAUGUUUCUAAAGACGAGCGAUAAUUUACGGAUCUACGGGUGGAUCAAAUUAAAGAAAUAAUGCGCGUCAAAACUACGGAGGCUAUGAAUGCAAGAACGCGACAGGGAUGACAUAUGAAUCCAUGAAGUAAACACUAAGUGGCCAGGUGAUGCGAUGAAACUACCACGAUUUAUUACUGCAAAGGAUUUACAAUAAACAUGUUGAACGGAUCCAAGAUGGAGGAAGUGGUGUUCAUAGCAUUCCGGGGCUGACCUAGAAGAACAUGGGCAUUCAAGGUUUAACCCUAAUGGAUGAAGAAUGUUUACCUGAAAAAGGAGGGCGAUGCCGAGAGAUGGUUGCGGAGGAUCCGCGAUGGAGAUCGCGCUUUUUACUGCCUGGGGACAUCCAGACUGCGGUGGCCAGCGACGGAGCUUCGGGAACGGCGAGGAGGCCGAAGCGCGGGCUUGAGGAAGACGAAGCAGUCGAGGAGAUGAAGUGGAGGUAGGUGACGGCGCCCCCACUCCCCUGCGGUUAUUUAAAGGCCUAGGGAAAAAAUGAAACGGCAGGCGUGGGAAUCAAGGCGACAAGUUGAAAACCAGCAAUGAUGGCGCCAAAAUUUUCGGGAUAACAGGAUGAAGACGAAAAAGAUCUGUUGGGAGUGAUGUCAUCGGAUCCCAGGAAUGGAGGAAUGGGUGAUGUCAUCAAUAAGUGACUUGGCGACUCAGACAAAUUGUGAAGGAUGGCUGCUUGUCACUUAUGGAAAGGAUGGGAAUGGUACGAGUCGCCCAGGAUGAGCGUGGAAGUCUAUUGGCGUGAAUAAAUUCAAGUCAAUCUAGGGCCUAAUGUUGGGGAUAUUACCUGCGGUAUGACCCGCCCUAAUAGGUCGGGUCAGGAAAGUGGCGACUCAUACAUAUAUGACCAACAUAAGCCUUGGUUUGGGCUUAGGGCGUGUUGGGAUGUUUUGUAAGAAGGCCGCCACGGCCCAUGAGCCGGAUGACGGUUCAAGGAUGGCGAAGAAGAUGAGCCGCCAAGGAGUUUUCCUCGGCUUGAGGUACACGGCGACUUAGAGAUAAGGAAGGCCACGAUUUGUAAUGUGGCCAGGACUUUGUAAACCCUGGGGCCUCGACCUGUAUAUAAAGGCGAGUCUCUGGGGCGAAUAGAUCAGGUUAGAAGUCAUCGAGAGCUAGGUCAGGCGGGUUACGCCCCCUUGUAAUCGAAUCCACCAUCAAUAUACACAAAGCAGGACGUAGGCCUUUACCUCCACACGAGGGGCCAAACCUAGGUAAAUCUGAGGUUCGCUUUUGCUCACCCCCUUUGGGUCACCACCAAGGUGCGAUGGCUCCUUUAGUAAGUCCUUUCACGAGGACAUCUGUCGUGACAAAACCACGACAGACCGUCCAGGCGACCUCCUGGCGCGACCUACCCCCUGGCCGCGCUAGUAGGCCGCCUGGGUGGGGCCCACCUCCUCUGGUGCCAUCCUUUGGCCUAUAUUUAGUCCUUUGAGAGGAAACCCUUCUACAACUUCCAGAAUCGCGAAUUUCUCCAUCGUUCCAUCGUCGUGGCGCUUCUGAGAUCGGGAGCGUCACGAGACCUCUUCCCAGCACCAUGCCGGUGGGAGGAUUGACCUCCGGGAGCUUCUCCACCACCAUGGACACUUCCCGGACAUGUCGUGAUUAGUCCUCCUUUGACUACGGGUCCAUGACCAGUAGCUAUGUGAUGUCUUCUCUCCAAUCUUGUGCUUCAAUGGUUAGUCCUUGUGAUUUGCCCUACAUUAUCAAGGCAUCUAUGUAAUUAUCUUGCUAUUGCUAUGCUCGGUUUGUUGGGAUCCGAUGGAUUAUGAGAUUAUGUUCAGAUUGUUAUGAGUUAUAUAUUUGAUUAUCCUUUUAUAUUAUGUUCCUUAGUGAUUCAUGCAUGUUCUCCGUUGCUAUUUAUUGCUUUUGCCGAGUAGUAGAUUGCAACUCCAAGAGGGAGUGUUAUGCAUGAUUGUGGGUUCAUGCCCCUCGAUGUCCAGCUUGAUUGACAGAAACAUGAGACUAGGGGAUGUGAUUUUGCCACCAGGGAGAAAACAACGGUGCUUUGAGUUACCUUACGCAUAGUUCGUUAAUGCAGUUGUCCGUUGCUUUGAGUUUACACUUUGGGUGGGGCUCGCAACUUAAUACCGGCGAGAUGUUCUGAAUAGAUAUCUCAAGGUGGAUAAUUAGUAAGUAUAUGCUGAUGAAUAAACGGUCUACUUGUCUUGGCGUAUUGCCCAUUACUAUUAAACCUCUAACUAUCAAGUAGCAUAAUUAGCAUUGUGGAGCGUUCAUAAUCUUGUCAAUUGCCUAGCUAUAAUUUGUUUACCCAAGCAUAGUUGUUUAUCGUCUUUUGGCAGAGAGACAUCACUAGUGAACAUCACGUGACUCCGGUUCAUAUCACCAUCAUUGUUUACACCUCCAUCAUUUACCACUUUCAUUUACUUUUCCGUUGCAAUCACUAUUACUAUUCCCGCUUGUGUUUUGAUCCUUUGCAAACUACAAGGCCGGAGAGAUUGACAACCUCUCUGUACUCUUUGGGAGCAAAGUUAUUUGUUGUGUGUGCAGGUCCACGUCUUCUACUAGCGACAGGGCAGCAGACACCUACUUGUUGAUCCUAGGAGUCCUACUGGUUCGAUAAACCUUAUAGUCUCCGUGUGAGGGGAAGCUUGUUGCUAACUACAUCUCAACCUUCCACUUCGGGUAACCAACGAGGUGCGAGAAGUAUACAUCAUCUCCUCAUCAGUUGUUCGGGAGACCUUUUCACACUAACCUUCACAUGGGAGAAGUUAUGGGUACCCGACGUCGUGGUAUCACCCAAAGUUCUUUAGACGUCAGUGCUACCUCUUGAGCUUGCGUUGGUUUUUUCCCUUGAAGAGGAAAGGGUGACGCAGCACAGUAGCAGUAAGUAUUUCCCUCAGUUUGAGAACCAAGGUAUCAAUCCAGUAGGAGUAUCAAGAUGAAGCACCAAUUUACCUGCGCAAAAACAGCAAACUUGCACCCAACGCUACAAAGGGGUUGUCAAUCCCUUCACGAUUGAUUGCAAGGUGAGAUCUGAAGGCGAAAAGUGCAACAAAGUAAAAGUGUAGGGCUGAAAAUAUGAUGUGAAGUAGACCCGGGGGCCAUAUUGUUCACUAGAGGCUUCUCUCAAAAUAGCAAAUAUUACGGUGGGUGAACAAAUUACUGUCGAGCAAUUGAUAGAACCGCGCAAAGUCAUGAUGAUAUCUAGGGCAAUGAUCAUACAUAUAGGCAUCACGUCCGAGACAAGUAGACCGAUACUUUCUGCAUCUACUACUAUCACUCCACGCAUCGACCACUAUCCAGCAUGCAUCUAGUGUAUUGAGUUCAUGACGAACAAAGUAACGCCUUAAGAAAGAUGACAUGAUGUAGAGAAAUAAUUCAUGCAAUAGAUAUAAACCCCAUCUUUUUACCCUUGAUGGGAACAACAUGAUGCGUGCCUCGCUACCCCUUCUGUCACUAGGUGAGGUCACCGCAUGGUAUGAACCCAAAACCAAGCACUUCCCCCAUUGCAAGAAUCAUAGAUCAAGUUGGCCAAACAAAACCCACAACUCAAAGAGAAUUACAAGGAUAUGAAAUCAUAUAUAUAAGAGAUCAGAAGAAACUCAAAUAAAAUUCAUAGAUAAUCUGAUCAUAAAUCCACAAUUCAUCGGAUCUCGACAAACACACCGCAAAAGAAGAUUACAUCAGAUAGAUCUCCAUGAAGAUCAUGGAGAACUUUGUAUUGAAGAUCCAAGAGAGAGAAGAAGCCAUCUAGCUACUAGCUAUGGCCCCGAAGGUCUAUGGUGAACUACUCACGCAUCAUCGGAGAGGCAAUGGUGUUGAUGAAUAAGCCCUCUGUAUCCGAAUCCCCCCUCCGGCAGGGCACUAGAACGUGCCCAAAAUGGGAUCUUGCAGAGACAGAAGCUUGCGGCGGCGGGAAAGUAUUUUCGUGCAUCUCUCGUGGUUUUGGAUUUUUCGGGGAUUUAUUGGCAGAAGAAGUAGGGCAGACGAGCCACAGGGGUUCAAAAGCCUGCUAGGCGCGGCCCCCUGGCCGCGCCUAGGGGGCUUGUGGCCUCCCCUGGUGGCCUCUGCCUUGGUUUUCACGCCCCAUGCGUAUCUUCUGUUUCGGAAAAAAUCUUUUCGGACGUUUUAUUACGUUUGGACUCCGUUUAAUAUUCUCCUCUGAAAAGGGUCAAAAACACGAGAAAAACAGGAACUGGCACUUGGCACUUAGUUAAUAAGUCAGUCACAAAAAAGAUAUAAAAGGCAUACAAAACAUCCAAAGUUUGACAAGAUAAUAGCAUGGAACCAUCAAAAAUUAUAUAUACGUUGGAGACGUAUCACUUCGUACGAAGGAGGAGUCACCUUUUUAUUGCUAUCAUCAUACGCCGCCUGGUAUUUGUUUAAGUCUAGGCUGGCUGCUAGCUGAGUCGCCGCGGAGCGAGACUCUUUCACACAAUUGUGGUAAUCCUCUUCGGUGAACUCCGACUCGUCGUCUUUCAAUUCUGGGAAACCGGCACCUACCUCCUCUGGCUUAAGUUCGGGAGCAUAGGCCAGACACCGGAUUAGGGUGGUCAGUGCUCCUUUGCAGGCGGCUGAUAUUUUCAGUUCUUCUACUUGAGGUGGCAAUGUCGACAUGCAACCCAACAUAUGCUUGAUGGAUUUUAUUGGCUCUUUGUUGCCCAUCACAGCCUUCAUCGGCAUCAUGACUCCCAUAUAUAACUGCUUUGUAAAAGUAUAAAUCGCCUUCAGCUUCAGAAUGCAGUCAUUUUGGAGAAUGGCGGCUCGCUGACCUACAAAGGACAACAUGUGACAAUUAGUAUUUGCAAGAUGUUUUGCGACUCUUGUCAGAUGAAGGGAAUUGAUCCUUACCAAAGAUAACUUGGGUCAUGUUGGAGAUAUACUUUUUUAAACCGGAGAGUUCUUGAAGAGCGGCUUCUAGCUUCUCCUCGGCUUGUUCCACCCGCUUCAUGAUGGCGACUUGAUCAACAUGGGCUUUCUUAUCAAAUUUCUUAUGUUCAGCCUUCAUUUUCUCCAUGUCAGCAAGGGCCAACUGAUAUUUCUCUUCCGAUUUAGCCCGAGGAUCCUGCUGUUCGGCUAAAUUUUCUUUCAAACCAGCCAAUGUUGAGUCGGCCCGGGUCAAGGAUUCCCACAAACAAAUUUUGGGGAAGCAAGUUUCAGAACUGUUGCAAGCAACAUCCCUAACACUUGGGGGCUAAUGUAUGAUUCUUUUCAAGUCAUACCAGAUUCAAGAUCCGACUCAUCUUUCAAAAGAUGACCUGGCCCUUGGAGGCUACAGGUUGAAGUUUUUCACUAAAUUCAAGACCCAACUCAUCUUUCAAAAGAUGACCCGGCCCUUGGGGGCUACGGGNCAUUUACUUUUCCGUUGCAAUCACUAUUACUAUUCCCGCUUGUGUUUUGAUCCUUUGCAAACUACAAGGCCGGAGAGAUUGACAACCUCUCUGUACUCUUUGGGAGCAAAGUUAUUUGUUGUGUGUGCAGGUCCACGUCUUCUACUAGCGACAGGGCAGCAGACACCUACUUGUUGAUCCUAGGAGUCCUACUGGUUCGAUAAACCUUAUAGUCUCCGUGUGAGGGGAAGCUUGUUGCUAACUACAUCUCAACCUUCCACUUCGGGUAACCAACGAGGUGCGAGAAGUAUACAUCAUCUCCUCAUCAGUUGUUCGGGAGACCUUUUCACACUAACCUUCACAUGGGAGAAGUUAUGGGUACCCGACGUCGUGGUAUCACCCAAAGUUCUUUAGACGUCAGUGCUACCUCUUGAGCUUGCGUUGGUUUUUUCCCUUGAAGAGGAAAGGGUGACGCAGCACAGUAGCAGUAAGUAUUUCCCUCAGUUUGAGAACCAAGGUAUCAAUCCAGUAGGAGUAUCAAGAUGAAGCACCAAUUUACCUGCGCAAAAACAGCAAACUUGCACCCAACGCUACAAAGGGGUUGUCAAUCCCUUCACGAUUGAUUGCAAGGUGAGAUCUGAAGGCGAAAAGUGCAACAAAGUAAAAGUGUAGGGCUGAAAAUAUGAUGUGAAGUAGACCCGGGGGCCAUAUUGUUCACUAGAGGCUUCUCUCAAAAUAGCAAAUAUUACGGUGGGUGAACAAAUUACUGUCGAGCAAUUGAUAGAACCGCGCAAAGUCAUGAUGAUAUCUAGGGCAAUGAUCAUACAUAUAGGCAUCACGUCCGAGACAAGUAGACCGAUACUUUCUGCAUCUACUACUAUCACUCCACGCAUCGACCACUAUCCAGCAUGCAUCUAGUGUAUUGAGUUCAUGACGAACAAAGUAACGCCUUAAGAAAGAUGACAUGAUGUAGAGAAAUAAUUCAUGCAAUAGAUAUAAACCCCAUCUUUUUACCCUUGAUGGGAACAACAUGAUGCGUGCCUCGCUACCCCUUCUGUCACUAGGUGAGGUCACCGCAUGGUAUGAACCCAAAACCAAGCACUUCCCCCAUUGCAAGAAUCAUAGAUCAAGUUGGCCAAACAAAACCCACAACUCAAAGAGAAUUACAAGGAUAUGAAAUCAUAUAUAUAAGAGAUCAGAAGAAACUCAAAUAAAAUUCAUAGAUAAUCUGAUCAUAAAUCCACAAUUCAUCGGAUCUCGACAAACACACCGCAAAAGAAGAUUACAUCAGAUAGAUCUCCAUGAAGAUCAUGGAGAACUUUGUAUUGAAGAUCCAAGAGAGAGAAGAAGCCAUCUAGCUACUAGCUAUGGCCCCGAAGGUCUAUGGUGAACUACUCACGCAUCAUCGGAGAGGCAAUGGUGUUGAUGAAUAAGCCCUCUGUAUCCGAAUCCCCCCUCCGGCAGGGCACUAGAACGUGCCCAAAAUGGGAUCUUGCAGAGACAGAAGCUUGCGGCGGCGGGAAAGUAUUUUCGUGCAUCUCUCGUGGUUUUGGAUUUUUCGGGGAUUUAUUGGCAGAAGAAGUAGGGCAGACGAGCCACAGGGGUUCAAAAGCCUGCUAGGCGCGGCCCCCUGGCCGCGCCUAGGGGGCUUGUGGCCUCCCCUGGUGGCCUCUGCCUUGGUUUUCACGCCCCAUGCGUAUCUUCUGUUUCGGAAAAAAUCUUUUCGGACGUUUUAUUACGUUUGGACUCCGUUUAAUAUUCUCCUCUGAAAAGGGUCAAAAACACGAGAAAAACAGGAACUGGCACUUGGCACUUAGUUAAUAAGUCAGUCACAAAAAAGAUAUAAAAGGCAUACAAAACAUCCAAAGUUUGACAAGAUAAUAGCAUGGAACCAUCAAAAAUUAUAUAUACGUUGGAGACGUAUCACUUCGUACGAAGGAGGAGUCACCUUUUUAUUGCUAUCAUCAUACGCCGCCUGGUAUUUGUUUAAGUCUAGGCUGGCUGCUAGCUGAGUCGCCGCGGAGCGAGACUCUUUCACACAAUUGUGGUAAUCCUCUUCGGUGAACUCCGACUCGUCGUCUUUCAAUUCUGGGAAACCGGCACCUACCUCCUCUGGCUUAAGUUCGGGAGCAUAGGCCAGACACCGGAUUAGGGUGGUCAGUGCUCCUUUNNNNNNNNNNNNNNNNNNNNNNNNNNNNNNNNNNNNNNNNNNNNNNNNNNNNNNNNNNNNNNNNNNNNNNNNNNNNNNNNNNNNNNNNNNNNNNNNNNNNUUAGGCCCCAAAUUGACUUGAAUUUCUUUCACGCCAAUAUCAUCACUCAGUUAGGGGUGAUUCAUCUCACUCUUCUUAUGCACCAUACACUUAAGCCACCAUCUGCUGUGGAAAAACUCAAGUCGCCAAACCACUUCUUGUUGGCGCCUUCUUAUCCCUUGAAUCUCGGAAGAGAUGAUGACGUAAUCUCCAACGGAUCCUUCGGUAUCGCUAUCCCAAAAAUUUCGGGGCGCCAUCAUGGCGAAUCUUUAUCUUUUGGCAGUUCCCGCUCGUGGCGCCUCGAUCCUAGCGCCCGACCUGAUAAAUAGGCGGGAGGAAGGGACAGGGCACAUUUCACCUACCCAUCUUGUCGCCCUUCUCUUCCUCGCCGUCGCACCGAGAGCCUCAUCGCCACCCAAGAGCUCCGCCGCCACCCAAGGACUUCGAUGUCGUCCGAAAGCUUCGACGCCACUCGAAAACUUCGUCGCCGCCGAGCACCUCGUCGUGGUCGAGCAUUUCGUCGCCGUCAAAUGCCUCGUCGCCGUCGAGCACCUCGUCGCCGCCCGAGAUCUUCGUCACCGUCCGAGAUCUUCGCCGUCGUCCGGAAGCUGGUGAACGCGCAACGCUCGUGGCGAAUCCUUCUUCGGACGCCUCCAGCCGC
Molecule: long non-coding RNA, 66281 nt
Filed under: Hordeum vulgare
Lineage: Eukaryota; Viridiplantae; Streptophyta; Magnoliopsida; Poales; Poaceae
Description: long non-coding RNA (HVUL_LNC005292)
Source: RNAcentral